UACAUGUUCUCAACCAUAUAAAUUAUCAUUGUUAAAACUUAAAAGUGCAAUGUCGUGUCGUGAGUACUAACUAAAUUAGAGUAUAAUUCGCAUUGAUUAGGUCAAUAUGUAUGAUAAUAUAUGCCUCAUGAUGGAUCAGUAUACUAAAUAGCAAAGUAAUUUCUUCAGAUAGGAUGAUAGAUGGUGAUCGACGAAUUAGGGCACGUAUAACUUGUUGCCACAUUUGCACCUCCACGCCUCGGGAUAGUACUCUGUAGUCACUGGUGUUCCAGGCGGCACUGGCACAUGAACAAGCUUGCACGGCGUACAUCUACCACAUUUUGACGUGCAACGAGGUGGCGACGAUCCCGGCCCACCCAAAAGCCUUCUAGCUCCACCCAUGCUCUCUUUAGCUAUAUCCCAAUUACUAUUUUCCUCUGCGGUCUUCUUCUCUAAUUUCUGCCACCAAUCAAAUGAAAAUUUUUAAUUAGGAAAAAAAAGAAAAAUAGUGUAGAAGAUAUUUGGUAUUGUCAUCUCAGAAAGACUAACGAGGGGCCAGGGUUCAUGAGGCUGUAGCAGAAAAAUGGCUACACUCAUUACGCCGAUCGAAGUUUACAUUGGACUCGUUUGAAAAUGACAAACACCUCUUUUUUACAGUACAUUAUUGUAAAAUUUAAAAGUAAUAACAUGAAAUAGAAUUAUUUUAUAUGCACUUUUUCAUUUAUCUAAAAUUUUAAUUUAUGAAAAUAUUAACAAGAAAAUCAGUUUUUUACUGCAAAAGAAUAAUUUAAAGUUGAUUGAUGGAGAAAUAAUGUGACUUCGGAUUAUUUGGCUUCCAUUCCAUCAAGCAAUAUAUUUCGGUGAACGAAUUGAAUUUUGCUACUCAAAUAGGGACCUUUGGCGGAUCCAUGUGACAGGGGCUGAGGUGAUCUGAAAUUUGAAUUUUCAGAUCAAGCGUUGAGGUCACAAGGGCCUGUCACCUCAGCCCUGUCACAGACAGUCCCUGUUUGUGUAGCAGGAUUGGACCAAAUUACCUUAACAUGUCAAUGUUUACCCCUAAAAUGAUCAUCACCAUUUCAAGUCAAGGAUAAAAAUUGAAAAUGACAAAAGAUAUAACCACUUGAACAUUGAUUUUGUACAAUUAAGUUGAUAGAGAAGUUCAAAUCAAUGGGCAGUCAACCUUUCUGAACAAAUGUAUUUCUUGGGUCGUGUAAGGACAAUUGGUUGAAUUUGACAUUUAGCCCCGUUUGAACCACAUUAUUAUAAAAAUGACAAUGAAAAAUAUAGUUGUUAUAGGUCUCAUAUAAGAGAUAAAAAGUCAAAUAUGGCAGCUUAAUGUGAUGGAUAAUGGUCAUAUUUUUCAUUUUAAUGAAAAAAUAAUGGGACUCGGUCACGGUCUUAAAUAUCUUAAUACAAACCCCUAAUUUUAAAUUUUCAAAUUCUCCUAAAAAAUUUAUUUUGAUCAACACCUGCACAAAGUCUUUUUUGUGGGGCUCCCAAUUUCUGUUUGUAGGGUUUGCUCCUAAUCGUGAAGCCUUUUGUUGUUUGAAUUCUUAUCACAAUCUUAAGUUAACACUAAUUUAUAUAGCAUGAUUCUAUAAACCAAUUAAUCUUCUAAUAAAUAUUUUACUAGACAAAAAUUUGGCAAUAAUUAAGCAGUAAUACUUACCUGCAAGUAAGUAUCAGCUUCAUGAGGCAACACACAACUGGUUCCUGCAAAACAAACACAAAAGGAGAAAAUUUCUUGACAAAUUAGCCCUGCACAAAGAUGAAAGGGAAAAAGAAAGAGCGGACCAAAUUUUCACAUAAAAUUUUUUAGAAAAAUUAUUAUCACUCCAAUCUUGGCUGAAAAACAUUAGAUGAAGCAACGAUUUUUUUUUUUUAAAUAUUAUUAACUAAAAUAGUUUCCUGGUUUCUGGCACUGUGAAUGCCUCGCAAACAACAACAACAGCAGCAGCAGAAGAGGAAGGAGCAGAAUAUGAUACACUGAAGAUUUAAUCUGUUGCCCAUAAACCUCAGUCUUGUAAUCUUCCAGCAAAACUCCAUUAACAAGAAGAAGAAGAAGAAGAACAAAUAAUCUUGAAUAAAGAGUGAAUUCUUGCCGGUUUUUUUAUGGGUUUUUAGCCAAAUACUGAAACGUGUACUACCAGUAAACUUUCAAGUCUUCAGCGCCAGCCAGACUGUAAUUUCUCAUGCCCCAUGCAACAAGAAAUUCUAGUCGUGACUAUUAUUCUUUUGAUCGUGUCAAAAAAAUAUAUUUGUUUAACUAGCGUUGAAUGUUUCUUUCUCAUAAUUUAUUCGUCGAUCACAAAUAAAAAAUCUUAUAUAAGUCACAAUUUAUUUAUUAAUUACAAAUCAAUAGAUCACAAAUUAUUAAUUAAUUAGUCACAAUUUAUUUUUCGAUCGCAACUUAAUAAAUUGUGAGUCACAAUCACAUUUUUUAGUGUUGCCAUGCCCACUCAAACUGUAAGGUUAAGUCAACAAACAAUUGCACAUUAUUAGGAUUAUAUCUUCGACAAGCAGAAAGACAAAUUUGUCAUAUAACUUGGAAGAGAUAGACCCCAAAAGUUAGUAAUUGAGAUUGGAAAAUCCAAGCCUAUAUAAACUAUACAAAGGAAACCCAUAUUUCCGACCUGGGAUUCAAGUGCCCAUACACCCCAAUGGAAACCACAACAAAAUUUCCAACUUUAUAUCCCUUCAUGUGUAUUUGCAUGCCGUAUCAAUCUUUGAUCUUAAAAGUUUAAGCUCUUAGAUACGAACACAUUUAUUCAUUUAAAUUUAAUCUUUAAAGUGCCUUUUCCGUAUUUAAUUUUUCGAAGACUAACUACUGCAUAAUUUUCACGAUGGCACUAUGAAACUUUAAUGUUACCACUUGAGUCUACUCUAACCAUUAAAUUUAAUUUAAUCUUAGCACUUGUUAUACCACGUUCGUCAAAGGGAUCCAAAAACGCCACAUGCACGUCAGGUGGCAGGUGACACCACGGGCAUUUCGCAUCCUUUCCGGUCGAACCCUUGGAAUAACGAACCAAAUGAUGAACUCCUUAACCGAUCCUGCCCCUAUUGGAACCAACACAACUAAACCAAUGGGGGUGAACCGACCCACAGGAACCUAGGCGAAAGCAACGAAAUUAAUAAAGAGGUUAAUUGACAGAAGAUCUCCUAAAUCAGCUUCAGCUCUAGUGACACUACUGAUUUGACUACUCCCUGACACUGUCACUGCCAAUCUAGUUGGUUGAAUCUAUGGCCGCAAGCUACGAAUUCUAAAAGGCAAGCUGAUGUUACCAUUCAAGUCUUAUGAUUGAUUGAUUCACAUGAUGGGAGGUUGUGCCCACUUGGAUGAGGCCAUGUGUCCUCUCAUCUGACGGUCCUGACUCACUAUCCCAUAUUAUAAAAGCUCACACUUAGUGUUAAUGAGAGGUAAUGCAAGUUUAGACUUUCAUACUAUAAUUUUGCUCUUUACAUUUUUUUUACUCCCGAAUCUGACCCCCUUUAUUUGAUAUUGGAGGCUCACGUUAUAAGCUCUCCCACACUCACAUACAUCUUCCCCAAUUGACUUGACCAUUGGAGUGUGCGUGGCCGGCUCCACCCCUACCGGAGAAGGCCACGUGUGUCUAACGGUUUGUCCUAAUGUGCAGAAAAAUGGCUUGUUAAGACGUGAGAAAGUCUCGGGAUCUGUUGGCCACCUAGAGGUACACUUUUUGAGGUCAACAGAGACAUUCUAACCAUGAACAUCCCAGUGGUAGAAGCCAGUUUGAAACGUAUUUUUUCUCCGACCGGACCUUAAAGAAAGGUCCAAUUUCUUGAAAAAGAAUGGCAGGGAGAAAGGGAACAUCCAAAGUAACACAUUUGAAAUUAUCACCCAGAGUGCAAUCAGCAAUACCCCAUGAGUUCUAGUCAUUAUGGCUCCCACAGUAGGGGACACCGACGGGAAGCCUCUGAAGAAGAGGUUCUCCAUACUAAUGUCACCACUCGCCGACCUCACCACCAACACAGACAACGUGAAACCACUGCCCGUCUAGCGAAGGAAGUGCAAGAGAUGGUAGCUAACAUGAGGGACAUUGCCCAACAGAAUGCUACAAUACAGAGUUGCUUAUACAGAUGCAAUGAUAGAUGGGAUACUAGGUUCCUCACCAAGAACCUCUCUAUCAGGAAACUCAUGCAGGGACCUACGACCAGGAACACAUGAGAUAACAAAGCCCAAAUGGGAGAGAGGUAGGCAUGGAUAUGACCUCCAGUUACGUUCCGAUCGAAACCAGGGGUAACUUGCCACAGGAAGAAAACUUCCCUCCCAAUUAUGCCCAAGAGCAAGGAACACAUGUAUUUGCCAAUGUCUUUGAUCGAAUCAAUCUGACAAAGACUAGAAUUACCCCACAACAAUCACGACCCACCUAGAGGCAGCCAGAAUACGCCCAAGGGCUUGAACCCCAGGAGGUCAGACAACCUAAUAGGUGGGAAAGAAGGGAUGCUGAAAACUUACAAAAUCAGGCCAAAGCGUCCCACUCUUCUCGGUGUCAGGCGGAGAAGGGUAAAUCGGAUGACCCCUGCAGAUCUUUCGAGCUAGAUGAUGAUGAUGACAACCUCUCGUUUUCACGAGAAUUGAGGAAUGCUGAAGUGCCAAGCCACUUUGUUCCCCCAAAGAUACCCAAAUAUAAAGGGAAGGGGGAUCCAGUCGGCGAAACACCUAAACAACUACAUGACCCACAUGUCUCUCAGAGGAGCCACGCCAGCGCUAAAAUGUAGAGCUUUCCACUUGAACCUAAUCGGGAGCAACUGAAAUUUGGUAGAGGUUGUUAGCAUUAGAAGUUCGCUUGACCUCAAGAAAACGUUCUUGAACCAAUACUUGGCAAGCAAAGAAGGCAAAGCCCCUAUCCAAAGGCUCCAGGACAUGAAGCAGUAGGGUGGAGAAACUUUGAAAAGUUACUUGGCAAGAUUCACAGACGGAAUAACCUACUGUGAAUAAGUAACUGAUAGAGAGGCUCUGCGAGGAGGCCUCAACAUGAACAUCCUUUUUUUGGAGGGAUGUGCAAAACAAGAAUUCGACCACUUAUGAUGCUCUGGUAGAAAUGAUGAGGAGCGAAAUAGUUAACGAGGAAUCAAUUGACCAUCGCAACCGAACCUCUUUGGGGCUUCGACCCCCACAGAGGCAGAGACGAGGUCCAGUGUCGUACUUGAUAACCCAGCAAUGGACCCAAGUCGGGCAGACAAUUGUCCCCACUUCAGGUCAAGCUCUAGUAAACUCCAUGUUAAAUGCGGUACCAUCCCUGGCCUAUGAAGAAGUUGGACCCAAUGCGCAAGCGCAAAUGAGUCAACCAAGGAGAAGAGGUCGAGGGAAAGGCCAUGAGUCCAGAAACAAACCAUACUAUGCAUAUCAUCGGACCCACGGCCACAGCACCACAAAUUGCUUGACGAAGAACAGUCAAACCGAUCUGGUGAUACGAUCGCAUAAACAGGAGAGACACCUCUCAGAGAAGAUAAGAACAAGGGUCCCAACGAGCAAAAGUGAGGAGGACCCAAAGAGAUCAGUCCCCAUGAUAGUCGGAUGAUAAAGAAAGGAGAAGGCCUAGAGAUGCUCGGAGGCAAAGGAGGGAGCCUCGUGUCGGGAUAGAAAAUGAACCCAUCAGGAAAAUUGACACCAUAGUUAGAGGCCCUCAUGUAGGAGACGAAUCCAGAAACGCCCAAAGAAACUACGCCAGGGAAGCUAAAGACCCUCCAAUGAUAAGCUACUUGGUCAACAGUAACCCGCGUGGAACCUACUACUUUCCCAAUUUGGUGGUGCGAGCCAUUGUUGCCAGAAAUGGCCUAAGUCGCAUGCUCAUUGACAACGACAGUUCGGUCAACAUCUUGUCUGGAGCAACUUAUGAUAAAAUGCAUAUUACCCAUGGCCUGGCCCCAAUGACAGCACCUUUAUACGAUUUUACAGGAGACAGCAUCGUUCCCAGAGGAAGGAUUGCAAUGGAAUUCUUGGUAGUGGACCACCGGUCGCGUACCAUGGGUUUCUAGGACUACCCGCAUUGAAAGAACUCUGGGCGGUAACAUCUAUACACCAUUUAUGUAUGAAAUUUCCAACUAAACAAGGUAUUGCAACGGUUCGAGGCAAUCAGAUAGGGUCAAGGAAAUGCCACCUUAGUUCUCUGCGGAAGUCCGAACCCCGAAAUGUGAACAUGGUCCUCUUAGAUGCAGAAAUCUUUGACAUACCUGAAGAAGGGCCGACCCCUGAAGAAGGGAGAGACGUCGAAAUGAUAGAUAUCACCACAGAAGGAACCACUCCCGAACAACGAGCAAUAAGGGGUAAUCCUGGACCCUAGGAUAAUAGAAGCUGAAUCCCAGGCUGCCCCAGUCGAAGAAUUGGAACCCUUUGAAGUAGAUCCGACAGAUCCCAUGAAGAUACUUUUGGUGGGAAAAGAAUUGGGUUUGCGAAACAAGCAGAAGUUAAUGAACUUCCUCCUAAAAAACUUGGAUAUCGUUGUCUGGAAACACGGUCACAUGGUGGGCAUCGAUCCCAAAGUCAACUGCCACCACCUCAACAUCAACCCCAAAUUCACCCCCCAUCGGCAGAAGCGAAGGGCUUUGAACCCAAAGCGAUAUGAAGCCUUGAAAGAAGAGGUUCAGAAAUUGAAGGACAACGGGUUCAUCUGGGAGGCAGUCUACCCAAAAUGGAUAUCAAAUUUGGUCCUGGUAAAGAAGCAUAAUGACAAAUUGAGUGUCUGCAUAGACUUUUCGAACCUCAACCAAGCAUGUCCGAAAGAUAGUUUCCCACUUCCCAAAAUCAAGCAGCUCGUAGACGCCACUGCAAGCCACGAGUUACUAAGUUUCAUGGACGCCUAUUCAGGGUACAACCUGUAAUGCCCCAAAAAUUUUAGAAUAAAAUUUAUUUAUUUUAUAUAUUAUAUAUUUACAUUUUUUUAGGUUGAGGACUAAAAUGAAAAAUGUUUUAAAUUCCUAUUUUAUUUGAUCCAAAUAAUUAGAUGUCGUUAGAGCGAGAUUUAGUAUAUCGAUAUUGGACUUUUUUUAAAGCUUGUAAUUAAUUAGAAGUCUUAGACUUGAAGAAAAAAUUAUUUUGGAUAAGAUUACGUCAAGUUAGAACCAAAUAAAGGAAAACAAUGAUAAAUAGAAUUUUAAUUUAAUUAAUAAUCCUUAAUCAAUCCCUUUCUUACUGUAAUGUGUUUAAUUUGAUAAUGGGAAAUUCUAAUUCUACUUUGAUUUAAACUCCACUUACAGUUAUUUAGUUGAAUUAGAAUGGUGUAUCUUAGGUGAUUAGGAUAAAAUCUAUAAAUCCUCCCUGAUUACGGACAUUCGGCAGACAAUUUUUGUAGCCUUAAAUCAAUACCCCAAUCUGCCCAGCAAGCCAAUUCUUUAACGGAUGCCAAAACAAUUCUUUUUGCCAAUUCAUCUUUGAAAAUGUUUUUGAAAUCAAAAUAUUACCCACCCACUGAACGCAAGAGCAGAGAGAUUUAGGGAAAGUUUCGAAACGUGCAUUCAUAAUUCUUUUCAAAAAUUUGUUUCAUCUAUCGAGGUAAGAUACAUAUGUGUAAGUUGUUUUCAUUUCUGUAUGCUUUUAUAUGCAAUUAAAUAUGCGUGGAUUGCUAGUGGACCUUCGGGUUCUAUAUAAAGAGAAAUAAAAUCCUACGAGAUAUAAGAAGACCUAAGAUGAGUGUGUCGCUUGAUCACCGAUAUACUCCAUAAGAGUAGAGCGGUAUAAAAUAUAGAUUUUCUUAUUAUAUAUCUGUAUAUGGAAAUCGCACGUAUCUUACUGGGUAUUUUCGAAUACUCACUCUUGCAAUUUUUUACAGGUAGUUCGGGUCGAUUGGAAUUGUGGAAAGAUGGUGAUGCGGGCUGCUAAGUGGAUCAAAUGAAAAGAAAAAUAAAUGAGUUUGUUGUCUUUAAAUUUAUCAAUUAGUUUAAAUUUUGUUCCAAACGUGUUAUUUGAAUUAGUUAAGAGUUUAUGUUAUGUUUAGAUAACAUUUUCAUAUUUUAAAUUUAGAUUUAUAAAUGUUGCAGUUAUUCGUUUAAUAAAAAAAUUUAUUUUUAUAGUUCCGCACUUAAAAUAAAGAAAAAUGAGUUUUUCGUAACGUUCCGGAGUUAUAGAAAAUUGGGGCGUUACACAACCAAAUACCUAUGAACCCCUCCGACCAAAAACACACUUCAUUUGUUACUGAUUGAGGACUGUACUCUCACAAGGUAAGCCCUUCAGCCUAAAGAAUACCGAAGCCACAUACCAAAGGUUAGUCAAUGCAUUGUUCUUCGACCUCCUUGGGAAGACUAUGGAAGUAUAUGUCGAUGACAUGCUUGUAAAAAGUUUGAGGGCCAUAGAUCACACUGAGCACUUGAGAGAAGCUUUCGAGAUAUUAAGGAAGUACCGGGUGAAGCUGAACCUACAGAAUUGCGCUUUCGGCGUAGCCUCAGGGAAAUUUUUGAGUUACAUGGUUAAUCAGUGAGGAAUCGAAGCAAACCCAGAUAAAAUCAGAGCCCUGCUAAACAUGAGGUCCCCUUCGAAGCUCAAGGAGGUGCAAAGCUUGACAGGUCGACUUACUGCUUUAAGUCGGUUUAUCUCAAAGGCAACAGACAACUGCCUCCCGUUUUUCAAAGUCCUCAAAGGAGGAAAGAGGUUCCAAUGGAACAAGGAGUGUGAAGCGGCUCUCCAAGGACUGAAUGAGCACUUGGGGGCAACCCCCUCCUCUCUUUACUUGGCUAUCUCAACAGAAGCUGUGAGUUCAGUCCUUGUAAGGAAAGAAGAAGGAACACAACUGUGGAUUUAUUAUGUGAGCAAGGCCCUGUCGCCAACUAAGUCAACUUGCUUUUUCAUUGAUGACAGCCUCCAGAAAAUUGAGGCCUUAUUUUUAGGCCCACACUAUACAGGUCUUGAUGAGCCUGUCGCUUAAGUGAAUAUUGCAGAAGUCAGACUCAUCGGGUAGGUUGAUGAAAUGGGUAGUAGAAUUGAGUGAGUUUGACAUCUCAUACUAGCCCAGAGUUUCGGUAAAGGGACAGGCGCUAGCAGAUUUCAUUGCAGAGUUAGUUGAAGUUCAAGGUGAUAGCAUGGAUGUAGAACCUUCGACCCCCCUUCCCCACUCUAGAGUCUCCUCAUCGAUGGGUCCUCAUGCAAAUUAAAAGGUUGGUGGUUAGUUGCGAUUCACAACUGGAGGUUAGCCAAGUUAGAGGCGAUUUCACCGCGAGGGACAAGAGCAUGGCCUCCUACUUGAAGAAAGUAAAGGAACUCAAUCCAUGCUUCGAAGGAUUCGAGCUUAACCGGAUCCCUAGAAUCGAAAACACGAACGCCAACGCCUUGUCAAAGUUACCUAGCAGCAAGGACUCCAAACUACUCAAGGUUGUCUGCAUAGAGCACCUUCCUAACCCUAUCUAAGGGAACCCCUCUAUAUCUAAGGAAGCCAGGUUAUGUGGAUCGAAGGAACCCCUCUACGGAUGCAACCAUUUAUGGAUUAUCUCAAGGAUCAGACACUUUCUGAAGAUAAAGAAAAUGCUCGCAAAUUAAGGUGUAAGGCCGCCCACUACAUACUUCAGAAUGGUGUACUUUAUAAAAGGGGAUUCUCAUCAUCCCUCCUACGGUGCAUAGUGGGAAGAGGCUGAAUAUGUGCUACGAAAAAUCCACGAAGGGAUUUGCGGCAACCAUAUUGCCGGAUUGGCAUUGGCACACAAGGUAUUAAGAUAAGGGUACUAUUUGCCGACCUUGAGGAAAGAUGCAGUGAAGUUAGUCAGCAACCACCCCAGGAACUGACGUUGUAUCACCAAAUGGGGUAUCAACCUUAUGGGUCCUCUCCCAAAGGGGAGAGGAGGCUCCAACGACGCCAUAGUUGUCAUUGAUUACUUCACGAAAUGGGUCGAAGCCAAACCCCUCGCCAAAAUCACUAAGGCCAACUCCUCUAAAUUCAUCUGGAAAAACAUCAUCUACAGGUUCGGAAUCUCCCAUUCAAUUGUAUCGAACAACAGCAUAUAGUUUGAUACCAAAAAGGUUAGAGAAUUAUGUAACGAGUUAGGGAUUAAAAAGCAUUUCUCCUCCCCCAUCACCCUUAAGCUAACGGUCAGGUGGAAGCGGUGAAUAAGACCAUCAAAGACAUCCUAAAAAAGAAGCUCGACGCAUCAAAAGGAGCCUGGGUGGAUGAGCUCCCAUGUAUUGUAGUCUAUUCACACCACCAGCAGGACUACAACAGGGGAGACCCGGUUUUCUAUGGCCUAUAGAGCUAAAGUUAUGAGUCCCAUGGAAGUAGGACUACCAUUACUGAGGCGUUUGCACUUCAAUGAGAUAUCAAGUGAGGAGAACUUGAGUUGCGAGCUGGAUUUUCUCGAAGAGAAGAGGGACAACUCUCAAAUCAAGUUAGCUUCUUAUCAACGAAAAAUGGCCAAGUACUACAAUGCUAGGGUAAAGAAGAAAUCGUUCCUCCAAGGAGAUCUUGUGUUAAGGAGGGUUUUCUUGUCCUCAAAAAAACUUGGCGUUGGAACGCGAACGCUAGGGCCAAACUGGAAAGGCCCCUACCAUAUCACUAAUGAGGUCCGACCAAGGUCAUUCAAGAUAGAAGACCUAAGCGGAAAGAAAUAGCCCCAUGGAAUGUUGAACAUCCGCGAAUGUACUACCAAUGAUUGGACCAACACUAUUCUCCUGUAAUGUCCAACUUUUGUAUGCUUCUCACCAUCAAUGAAAUGCACUAUUUUUCUUAGCACUGUGCGAAUGACUCAUUCAAUGAUAGAUCGUUACUUAUAUGACAAGUUCAUAUACUGCGAACUGGUUAAGUAAUUUGUCUAUGGCGAGCCCAUAGUUUUCUCCAAGUUAAGUUUAUAUGACAUAAUUCAUAUAUUGCGAACCGGUUAAGUAAUUUCUCUAUGGCGAGCCCAUAGUUUUCUCUAAGUUAAAUUUAUAUGAGAAGCUCAUAUAUUUCAAAUUACUUAGUUCAGUUCGUCUGUAGCGAGCCGAUAGUUUUCUCCAAGUUAAGUUUACAUGACAUAAUUCAUAUACUGCGAAUCGGUUAAGUAAUUUGUCUAUGGUAAGCCCAUAGUUUUCUCCAUGUUAAAUUUAUAUGACAAGUUCAUAUACUACAAAUUACUUAGUUCAGUUCGUCUAUGGCAAGCCCAUAAUUUUCCCCAAGUUAAUUUAUAUGAUAAGCUUACUUACUGCAAAUUACUUGGGUCAGUUUGUCUAUAGUGAGCCCAUAGUUUUCUCUAAGUUAACGUUUAUAUGAUACAAUUAAAUAUACAACAAAUUACUCAAGUCACAUCACUAAUUUGGAAAAUUAUAAACGGUGAAACGAGGCAAGUGCAGAACGAAUAAAACUUUCACAAAAAAACAGGGCUACAUACAUCACCUUCGGCCAUAUAAAGGAUUACAAAAAUAAAGCCCUAAUCUAUGUCCUCUCCACCAGGUGCUUCCUCAUCAGCAGGGGUGGAAGGUUUAGCCAAAAUAAGAUCCCUGACGAAGGUUAAAUCCAACUCGAGAUGAGGUUUGCAAGCCUCUUAAAAACCUCAUUGUAGGCAACCCCCUCCAAUACAUCCCCAGGUUGUCAUACUCAGCUGUUUCAUGAAAGUGGGCGAUGUAUUCUUCGAUGGCCACACUACUCCUUCAAGUUGUUGCUUCAAACUUGCGACUUCGAAAGUGAGCCCCUCAACUUAGGCCUUCAACUUUGCUCUCUCCUUAUUAGCCUCUUCUAGGGCAGUCGAGGCAAUCUUUUGCAGAUUAUCAGAAUUUUCAGCCCACUUCAUUAAUACGUUCACCUCAGACUGGCAGAGGUGGACUUCUGCAGUUAAGUCUCGAUUAGCUAAGUCAAUUGCUCCACUAUCGACUCCAGUUCGGCAUGCGUCAAUUUUGAAGCCUCAAGGGCCUCUUCCGCCAUAGCAAUCUCGUCCUUUAACUUUUGAGCAUCUGCAACAACCUCAAAUGUCUUUCGCUCAAACUCCCUGUUCGCUUUUUGGAGCCUUCUCAUGUCCAUUUGUACGUUCACAAAGAAGCCCUGCGAACUAGCAUGCAUGGCAAGUCCGACCUCCAUCAUGUCCAUUGCAUCACAUGUCUCUGCACAAUUGAAGUACUUCUCCAUCCAAUACUUAUAACAUAAACUUGUUGCUAACUGAACCUCAGCAGAAAUGGGUUCUGCCUCGAUGGAUUUCUUCAACGACACGUCUAUGGUCAUCUAGAGCUUUGGUGGAGGUGGAGGCCCUUCAUUCCUAGAGAUGACCAACCUCUUUUUUCUCUCAGAGAUCGGUCCCAGUUCACCAAAUACUCAACCAUAAAAGACCCAGGGGAUAGGAGAUGAAAUAGAAGAACAGAAAUUUAUGAAAAUAGGUACUUUUAUUGAUAAUUGAAGAAGAUUUAAAUAUUACAAAAAUAAUUGAAAGAUAUUUGAGAGAACAAAUUACAAAGAAAAGUAAAACUUCUUCUUGCUGAAUUCGCUCUGCUUGAAAUGAAAUCUUGAACUCCUUUUAUAAUGAAGUCCGGACUUGAAAUUUCUUUCAUUUUGAAGAAAGAAUCUUGAAAAAGGAAGUGGACGACAUCAUAAUGGAGCAUCUUGAAAAGCAGCAUCAACUUUAGUCAAGAGUUUCCAAUUUUUGACUUCCUUUAAUAAAGAUAAUCUUUUUCUUUAUUAAAGUAGAUAUUGAUGUCUGACACAAAGUUGAUGGGAAUCUCGACAAAUUUGGCACCACCGAUUUUGAAUUGGACAAAGGUUGAGAAGAAUUUCUCUUGCUUGAUAGACCCUUGAAUGUCUCAAUUCAUCAAGAAAACUGGGUCCAUGUAGUCAUUUUGAAGUUUUGUUUGAAGCCUUCUUUUGAACUUUUGCAGCUUUCUCUUGAGCAAGAAACUCCUCAUAGUCACCUAGAUCAACUAAGUCAUCACCAUUGUCAGUUUCUUGAGAAUAUUGAGAUUCCUCUUCUUGAUCAGAUUCAUUUGUUUUUGAAGAUCCUUGUUUAGAAAUUUGAUCAUAAAUUUCUAAUAAUUCUUUAGGAUCUUUACAUUUUGAUAACAUUGCAACGAUUCUUUGUUUUUCAGUCAAAAAAUCAGCUUGAUUUUCUUGUUCUUUCUUUGAAAAUUUAGGUACACCCAAAUUUCUUUGUUCUUGUAUCCAUGAUUGAACUGCUUUUGGACAACAGUUUGUUUCUUUGAACUUUGCCCACCAUUUGAUCUUGAAUCUUCUUGUAAUUUUGUGGGUUGAGAACAUAUCUUGAAGAUUUUCAUAAUGGAAAAAAUCCCAGCAGAAAAUCCAUGAAACUUUCAUAUUGAAAGCAAAUUGAAACAAAAGAUUUUCUUGAGGCUUGAGAAAAGGUUUUGCCUCUCUUUUGAAGUAUUCAUAUCCUUGAAGAACUAGACUGGGCAAAAUUUGUUCUUCAAGUCCAUGAUACUGAAACCAAGUUUGAAACCAACUCGGAAAAUGAGGGUUACAAUUUUGAUUAAAAUUGAUAAACCAAGAAUGGAUAACAGGCCUUAAAAGAAGAGCCUUAUACCAAGCAUUCUGAUAAUCAAAAUAAUUGAAAGUAUCUUGACAAGUGAAAAAUGUUUUUGAAAGAUUUAAUCUUUUUUCUUCCCAAGGAUUCUGUCCCCAGUCUUCGUAAGACAGAACUCUUAAAAUUGAAAUUUUUGAAAACAUAAUAUUUGAUUUGUCUCUUGGUUCAGGAGUAUGAAAGAUUAAUGCAGAACCAGUCAAAGAAAGAAUGGUUUCGUAAUAAUCUCUAGUUUUUUGGAUAUUUGAAGGCAUGAACCAAAAAUUUUCUGGAAGAAUUAAUUCAAGGCAAUCAUCAAGACCACCAUAUCUAUUGAUCCAAGAACUUUCCAUUGUAAGAACACAAUCAGAAAGAUUCUUAGUAAAAUAUUUGAAAGAAUUUGGAGGAUUAAUUUGAGGAAGUUUGCCAGAACUUUGAACGGCUUUUUUGAAGUUUGAAGGGGUUGAAGACUCAGCUUUUUGCUUUUGAUCAGUCUUUUUGACAAAAGUUGAGAGGGUAUUUGAGGAAGAUGAAACUUCCUUUUGAUCCUUUGGGGGAUCUUCAAAGAAAGGAAUUGAACUUUUCUUCUUUCUUGAAGUUUUUGUUUGAAAAGGAUUUUGAGAAUCCUCUUCUUCUUCGACUUUCUUAGCCCAACUCAUUUUUCUCACUCUUUUGAAUAAACUCUCUUGUGAGGAAAUCUGCCAAGAAGUUUGAUUUUCCUUGAAUAUAUAGAAUUUCGAAAUCAAAACAGGACAAAAUUGCCUGCCACCUUGCAAAGAUUUGUUUGGAAACAAGAUUUUUUACAUCUUUUUGUAAAACAUCUUUUGAAGCUUUGCAAUCAGUUUUCAAAAUAAAUUUUUUAUUGAUCAAAUCAUCUUGAAAUUUGGAAAUACAGAGAACUAUUGAAAGAAUCUCUUUCUUGAUGGUUGAAUAGUUGAUUUGAGGUCCAGACCAGACUCCACUAUGAAAUCUGACUAACUGUUCUUUUGACGAUCCUAGGGGUAAUUGCUUUAACACACCACCGAAUCCUAUAUUUGAGGCGUCUGUUUCGACAAUAAUUGAGGCUGUGGGGUCAAGAAUUGAUAGACAGGGAAUAUUUUUGACCAAUUUUUUCACCUUUUGGACUGCAUGCGUACACUCGUGACUCCAUGGGUCAGGGUUAUUUUGUAAUCUUUUGAAUAAUGGGGCACAGAUUUGACGAAUAUCUUUGACAAAAUCAGCCACAUAAUUGACACAACCUAAAAAACGUUGCAAACUUGUUUUUUCUUUAAUUUCAUCUGAAAAUUUGUCAGUGAAAUCAAGACUUCUUUGAAUUGGAAUAAUUGAAGAGUUUUGAAUAGUAUGACCAAGAAAACGAAUUUUUGUCUGAAACAAAACAAUCUUUUUAGCAGAGACUGCUAAACCAUUUUUCUUGAUAACAUGUAUGAAUGUAUGAAUAUGCUUUAAAUGUUGUUCAAUAGAUUUUGAAUAAAUGAGGACAUCAUCAAUGUAAACAAUAAUGAAGUCCGAGAAUGAAUUAAAAAUAUCAUUCAUGAUUUUUUGAAAUUCAGAAGGAGCAUUUUUGAGACCAAAAGGCAUAACAUUCCAUUCAUAUUGUCCGAAAGGAACAUUAAAUGCAGUUUUGUAUUUAUCUUCUUCCUUAAUUUGAACUUGCCAAAAUCCUGACUUCAUGUCAAAUUUUGAGAAGAUGAUAGCUUUUGAAAGACGAUUCAGAAGAUCUUUCUUCUGAGGAAUAGGAUAUCGAAUCCAUUGAAGAGCAGUGUUGAGUGGUUUGUAAUUGAUAACAAGGCGUGGAACACCUCGUUCAAUUUCAGCAGAAUUGUUAACAUAGAAUGCAAAACAACUCCAUGGAGAUUUACUUGGGCGAAUUAAAUUCUUUUCAAGUAAAUCAUUGAUUUCCUUGAUACAAAAAUCAAGUAAUUCUUUUUUCAUUUAAAUAGGACGAGAUUUUGUAGGAAUAUUAGAUUCAUGAAAAUCGGAAUUGUAAGGAAGAGAAACAAUAUGCUUCUUCCUAUCCCAAAAAGCAUUUGGAAUAGUUGAACAAAUCUCUUGUUCAAUUUUCUUUUGUAAAUUUGAAAUAAGAUUUUUGAUAGAAGAAUCUUCUUCUAAUCUUUUUUCAGUUUUUUGAAAAGAAAUUUCUUCUUUAAGAAAUUUAACAUGAUUUCUUUUUAAAUUAAUAUUAUGAAUAAUUUUUGAAAUUGCAGCUUCUUUUAAAGAAUUAACAUCUUUAUAAGACGGAGGGUUUGAAAAUUCAAAAUGAAUUUUCUUUCCAAAAAUUUUUGUAGUUAAUCCUUUAUAAUCAGCUUUAAAAGGAUAUAUUUGAACAAUAAAAGGAGUACCAAGAAUAACAUCUUGAUCCAGAUCUUUUACCAAAUAAAAAACAUUUUUAAAACAAAUAUUUGAAUUACAAACAUGAGCUUUUGAAAUUUUGUAAUUAAUAUUGAGUUUUUUACCACUAGCACCAUAAAGNNNNNNNNNNNNNNNNNNNNNNNNNNNNNNNNNNNNNNNNNNNNNNNNNNNNNNNNNNNNNNNNNNNNNNNNNNNNNNNNNNNNNNNNNNNNNNNNNNNNNNNNNNNNNNNNNNNNNNNNNNNNNNNNNNNNNNNNNNNNNNNNNNNNNNNNNNNNNNNNNNNNNNNNNNNNNNNNNNNNNNNNNNNNNNNNNNNNNNNNNNNNNNNNNNNNNNNNNNNNNNNNNNNNNNNNNNNNNNNNNNNNNNNNNNNNNNNNNNNNNNNNNNNNNNNNNNNNNNNNNNNNNNNNNNNNNNNNNNNNNNNNNNNNNNNNNNNNNNNNNNNNNNNNNNNNNNNNNNNNNNNNNNNNNNNNNNNNNNNNNNNNNNNNNNNNNNNNNNNNNNNNNNNNNNNNNNNNNNNNNNNNNNNNNNNNNNNNNNNNNNNNNNNNNNNNNNNNNNNNNNNNNNNNNNNNNNNNNNNNNNNNNNNNNNNNNNNNNNNNNNNNNNNNNNNNNNNNNNNNNNNNNNNNNNNNNNNNNNNNNNNNNNNNNNNNNNNNNNNNNNNNNNNNNNNNNNNNNNNNNNNNNNNNNNNNNNNNNNNNNNNNNNNNNNNNNNNNNNNNNNNNNNNNNNNNNNNNNNNNNNNNNNNNNNNNNNNNNNNNNNNNNNNNNNNNNNNNNNNNNNNNNNNNNNNNNNNNNNNNNNNNNNNNNNNNNNNNNNNNNNNNNNNNNNNNNNNNNNNNNNNNNNNNNNNNNNNNNNNNNNNNNNNNNNNNNNNNNNNNNNNNNNNNNNNNNNNNNNNNNNNNNNNNNNNNNNNNNNNNNNNNNNNNNNNNNNNNNNNNNNNNNNNNNNNNNNNNNNNNNNNNNNNNNNNNNNNNNNNNNNNNNNNNNNNNNNNNNNNNNNNNNNNNNNNNNNNNNNNNNNNNNNNNNNNNNNNNNNNNNNNNNNNNNNNNNNNNNNNNNNNNNNNNNNNNNNNNNNNNNNNNNNNNNNNNNNNNNNNNNNNNNNNNNNNNNNNNNNNNNNNNNNNNNNNNNNNNNNNNNNNNNNNNNNNNNNNNNNNNNNNNNNNNNNNNNNNNNNNNNNNNNNNNNNNGAUUGUUGACAAUCUUCUCUUUGCAUGAUACGUGUUAAAAACAUAUCUUUAUACCAUCUAAAAUCUUGAAGUUUUGGACAUCUUAAAUUCAUAAGAAUAUCAUUUUGAAAUUGAAUAUAAUUUUCUGGAGUACCAAUAAAAUGUUAGAUAAUAGCUAAUCCAAGAACGGAAUAACUAUCAUUAAUGUCUUCUCCUUGUUCAUUUUUAAUAAUAUUAUUAUUUUCAUCACGUUUGACAGCAGAAAAAAUAAUAUUUUUUGAAGUAAAUGAGAGGUAAUUUUCCCACCAUUGACCAAGCUGUCCAGUGAAUCCAAGAACAAUAUUAUUUGUAGCUUGAAGCCUUGUGGCUCCUUUUGCCAAAAAGGUUUUAUAACAAAUGGUCAUUUGUCCUAAAAGAUUAAUAAUUUGAUGUUCAGUAAGGCCAUCUAUGUUCCAUUCCACACCGGAAGAACCAUCGUAUGAUCUUUGAGGAGGUAACUUUUCUUCAAAAAGUUGAUCUGGGAAUGAAGGACGAGGAUAAAAUUUUGGAAUAUUUUGCUAAUCAGAUUUUCUAAGUUUGUUAAUCUGAUCAAAUUUUUCAUCAGUAAAUUGAUUUUCGAUUUCCUCAAAAUCGAUUGUAUUGAUAUUUUUUGAAACAUGAAAAUUUUUUAGUUGAUUAACAAGUUCUGAAAGAACUUCUUUUUCUGUUGAAAGAGAUUGUGUAGAUUUUUCAAAAGUAGGAAGAAUAUCAUCAUUUUUGAAAAUCGGAGAUGAUGAAGAAGGUUUUGAAAUAUUUUUAUCUUUACUUUUACUGUCUCGAUAUUCUUUAAAAGAAUCUUUUGGAACAGUAGAAGUUUCAGAUUCAGAAUUUGAUUCGAUACGAUUAAGUUGAGAACAAACAGAUUGAAGAACAAUAUUAGUAAAAUUGUUCUGAGCUUGAAUAUUUUUGAUAUCCUUAGCAACAACUUGAGAUUCAUCAAGUCGUUCUUUAGAAUUUGAAACUCUUUUGAGUGGAGAUGCAAGAAUUUCAGUUUUACCAUGGGUAUAUGAAAUGUCUUGUAAAGGAGGAUGAAUAGAUUGAAAAGUAUUUCCGUCAGGAGUUUUCCAUGAUUUUGAAGUAUUUUUUGUAGUACAAAUUUGAGGUUUUUCUGGUUGUUUUCCAAAAACUUUGAUUUGGAUCCAAUCAUAAAAACUUAAUUCUGUAGAAGAUUUAAAAUAAUCUUCCCAAAAUUGUUCUUUUUCUUUUGAAGAAAAUUGAUGUCUAAAAAUUUUUCGAAAAUUUUUUAUUUGAAUAUCUUGAUCAUUUUUGAAUUCUUUUCUUCUAUCAAUUUCAGAAGAAAUAACAUUACAUUGAUGAUCAAAAUCAGAAUUUGAAGGAGGAACCAUAUCAGAAAGAGUAGGAGACCCUGGUUGCUCAGUGUCUUCUUCUUUUUCUUUAGGUUGAUAAAAGGGAUUUGGAAUAUUAGGAGUGAAAUCUACUCCUUUAAAAGAUGUUGAGGUAGAGUUUCUUGAAGGUUGAAAAGAAUUCUUAGUUCUUUCUUCAGAUCUAUAUGAUCUAAAAGAGUUAGAUCUAGGAAUUCUAGAUGAAGAUCCUUGAAAAAUAACUUUAGCUUUUCCAUCAGAAAAAGUUAAAAUUUCAUUUGGAGUUGAAUUUGUUUGAGCUGGAAUUGGAGCUUGAAUAUUAUCAAAAUUCCAUUCUAAAUUUCUGGAUUGAAGAUUCCAAGGAAUUCUUUUAGGAAUUUCGACACUUGAAUGAAAAGGAUUGACUUCAACUAAAAGACUUUCUUCUUUUGGAGAGGAUCUGAGAGCACCAAUAUUGAGUUGAGUGUUCAUGAGUUUGUAAUAUAUCCUGUAUAUUACAGCAAAAGCAUUUGAUCGACUAUCAAACUCAAGAUUUCGAGUUUGAAUAUGAAGAUUUAGAGCGUUUAGAACUGCUCCAUCAGAUAAUUUUAUUGAAAAAUUUGGAUAACAAUUUGAAAAAACUGGACCACUUUCAAGAUUUGAUUCAAGAAGUGAAAGUAGAGAGUUUUUGAAGUUGAGAUGUCUCUUAUCUCUAAGAGUAAUAAGUAUUGGAAUGUCUAAACCAAGUCUAAACAAUGGUUUAACAGCAAUUUGAAUUAAACCAACAUGAAGAUAUUUAAAUCUUUUUCUAUGAGAUUCGAUUGAUUCUUUUGAAAAUAAAUUAAUGAAUGCAUUUGAACUAUUAAUUGAAAUAGUUUGUUCAAAAGUUUUGAUAACAUAAUUUUGAGUAAAAUCAAAUUUUCCUAUUUCAUAGAUAGAAUGUUUGUCUAUCUUUGGAAUAGUCCAAUUUUGAAGUUGUUGUUCAAUCUUAGCUAUUUGAAAUUCAUUUGAAUUGGAAUCAUUCGAUACAGAUGCAGAUGAACUUGAUGCAUUAUCAACUUCUUCUUCACUUUGAAAAACAUUUGAACUAUUUUCAUUUUGAUUUUGUGAUCUAUUUCUAGACCUAGAUCUCCUUAGCCAAUUUGAAACCGAAGACAUAAUUGAAUAAAUGAAAUCAAAUUAAAAUUACACAAUAAAAACAGUAAAAUAGGGCAGAUUGGUUCUUACCAAGCCUACAAAUGGGACCACCCAACGGGACCACCUAACACGGCUGACCAACGUCUACAGGGCUGACCAACGUCUAUUCAGCGGACAUCCAGGAAUUCAAACCGAUUAAACCUAUUGAACAGUAACUAUAGUGUAAGAUUAAACUAAUCUCACUUGUUCACUUAUGGCUCUGAUACCAUAAAAGACCCAGGGGAUAGGAGAUGAAAUAGAAGAACAGAAAUUUAUGAAAAUAGGUACUUUUAUUGAUAAUUGAAGAAGAUUUAAAUAUUACAAAAAUAAUUGAAAGAUAUAUAUAUAUAUAUAUAUAUAUAUAUAUAUAUAUAAAUUAAUUGAAGUUAAUUGUAAGAAUGCAAUAACAAAAGUUAAAAACAUAAAUAAAAAAUGAAAACAAAAAAAUGGACGUUAAUUCUAAUUAACGAAUGGUGCGGUUAAAAAAAUUUGUGGGGUGAAUAUAAUUAUAUAUAAAAAAUUAAAGGGAAAAUUUCAACAUAUCAUUAGAGUAAUAGGGUAGAGCAAAAAAAAAUCACGAGCUAGUCAAAUUGAAUUGAAACUACAAUUCUGAAACAAUUUAUAUCCACGUGUACCCUUCAAUUUUUCGAGUUUAGUUUAGAUUUUGAAAGUUAAAAAACUAUUUGAAAUCAAAUCGAACCGUUCACCCAAUUUAAAAAAAUAUUAAUUCAUUUGUACUUCAACAAAUUCAAUUUCUAUCGGUUUCAAUUGAUUUUUCAGAAAAAUAAUAAUUUAUGAUAAUAAUUAUCGUCAAGGACAAUAUAUGAUAAUUAGUUGAAAAUUAAGAAUAAAAAGUUGAAACAUAAAUGCUACAAUGAACAAAAAUUGAGAGUUUUACGUAAAAUUAAAAUGUGAUACAAUAAUAAUUUUUGGUGCCAAUAUAAUAAAGCUUUUGAAAAUUCAAUAUUAUCGUAGAUCUUUUAUAAAUUUCAAAUUUCUGUAACAUAUUUAGAAAUUCAAACAAAUAUAUUCAGCAUUAGAUUUUCCAAACUAGGUCUUCCCUUUCUGCAGCUAAAAAGAACUUGAAAUUCUAAAAUCACUAAGGUGUUAGUUAUCCUACUUUGAGAGGUCAACAAUUUUAUUUUAUGCGGCUUAGAUAACAUGCAGCCAUGACCAAAGUAAGAGGCAUUUAAAUCGUUGUAAAUUUAAAUUAGCUGUAAAUUAUUCUAAUUGUAAUUUUUGACUUGACAGCACAAUAAACAGAUACUGUUUAACUCAUCUUACCAAACAUGUCGAGAUUUCAAGCAGAAUCCCAAGUUGAAACUCAACUGAUACAAUCCAUAGAACAACCUUAGUAUCUAAAGAAUUUUGAGUUUCAGCAUGUAUGCCAUUCAGUUCUGUAAAACAUGCUUUUAACCGAAUUUAAAUUGUGAAACUUACUUGAAAAUCCCAAAAACGAGGUUGAAUUACUUGCCUAUUGAUUGCUUGCCUUCAACACCGUCUUGUACCCGCUUCUUGGUCAAAACUUAAUCAUCAAGAAAGAAGUUUGUUAUUCACAAUCCAAGAACCCAAUUAGAGAUAUAAUUUUUCCAAAAAUCAAGCCUCCACCCGCAUCCAAUUUUUACACUUUGAAAGAACCCGAAUUUUGAAUAUCCUUUUUGUUUUUUACUUUUAUGAAUUAUGAAGAAAUGAAGUUGAUGAUGGGAGUUAUGGGUGGUGGGGAGGUUAAAUUUCAAAUUCAACUUUCAACCCCUCCCUCCAAAAUUUUCUUCCAUGCAAACCGGGUCGGGUUGGGUCACAUGGGCGACCCGUUUUCUUCCAACAUCUCCCACUCGCACAUGAUUGGCUUGACCUGAUUCUAAUAUAAUAUCAAUUAAAUAAGUCUCAAAAUUUCCAAGUUCAUGCAGGUAAAUGGAUUAUGCGACCAGCGAGUUAAUUUAAGAGCACACAACACUAUACACCUGUAAGGGAUAUAUAGCAGCUCUGAAAGAGGAAUUAUAUUUCUCGUUAUACCCCAGAUAUAUUUUGUAACACUAGUUCCAGUAUUUUUGACCCCUCAAUUUAUUUUGGAACAUACUCAACUUUCUUAUUUAUAUUGUAUUCACAAUUGUGUUAUGAAAUUCAAAUAAUCAACACAAUUGUCCGACCGGUGAAUACAAGCUGAGGUGUUAGUUAAACAGUCUUCCUUUCCUACUUGAAUCCCUUCAUUUCAAAUCAGCCGCUUUCCUAGACAUAUCCCAUCAAACCGAAUCAACCACAGUUAUUGGGAACAUGCUAAAGUAGCAACAUUGAAAUAAAAUUAUGAGAAACAGUCAAAAGUCAUAAGCGUAUGUGAGGUCAAAUAUGCCUCAGAGAUUCACACAAUGAAGAAGCAGGGAUCAAUUCUUUCAUAUCUCAUUGGUCGUUAAAGCACAUGUCGUAUGAAACAUGUGUUACGAUAUUUUCUCCCUUUCUUAAUGUGUAUGUCAAAUCUCGCAAAUCAAAUACAUCGUAUAGAUCAUGGUUCAGAUAUUCCUCGAUAUCUAACAUGAGUUCUCCUCAUAUUUAUUCAUAUAGUUAAUCUUAAAUCAAGAACUCGAUCUGGCUGUAAAAACAGGUCUAAUGGAUAAAAAAAAUACAUACUAAUUACUUGUUGUAAUCUCAUCUUAAUAUCACAUCAAGGCGACUGGAUCAUGUACACAAUAUGAUCGCUAUGUCUCAUCUCAGCACACAUCAAAGUGUCUGAGGUGAUUGUUCGCGCGAGUGAACUAAUCUCAACCUGUUUGACAUACUUUAUUUGUGCAUAUGCAAUGGUAAUCUAAAAAUUACAAUAAAAGAUUACUCUUAACAUGUGAACUCAAAACAUUGUUCAUUAAUGGACAUAUAUGAAAAAGUUUACAUGGUAUACAAUUCAAAUUCUACGCAAUCCCAGAGAUUUAACAUGUGUCAUAAAAAUAUCUCCAGGGAUGGGUUUUGUAAGUGGAUCACUUACCAUUUGGUGCAUAGAAAUAUACUGCAAACUUACUUUCUUCUUGCCUAUGAUGUCUCUCACAAAAUUAUAUUUUGUAUCAAUGUGUUUGGUUCUACUGUGAUACUUGGGAUCCUUAGUAUAUGCAAUAACAAUCUGACUAUCAUAGUAGAUCAAUAUAAGUCCUAAUCACCACUAACGACUCUUAGAUGCUAUAAGAAUCUCCUUAACCAAACAGCUUCUUGUACUGCCAAAUCACAUGCUACGAAUUUUGCUUCCAUUGUGGACAAUGAAAUACAUGUCUGUUUAUUGCUACUCCAAGAGAUAGGGCCAUUAUUAAGCAAGAAUACGUAUCCCGAAGUUGAUUUACGCUCAUCUAGGUCUCCACCCCAAUCAGUGUCCGUGUAUCUUUUUAAGCACAAAUCAUUUCCUUGAUAACAUAGUGAGUAAUUAGCAAUACCCUUCAGGUAUCGCAAUAUCCUUUUAAUAGCUUUCCAAUGUUCUCUUCCAGGAUUGGAUUGAUACCUGCUGACCAGACCUAUGGCAUAACAAAUGUCAGGACGAGUACACAUCAUAGCAUACAUCAAGCUCUCAACCACACUGGAAUAUAGAACUCUAGACAUUUCUUCUUUUUCCUCGAGAGUUUUAGGACACAUGUGAAGACUUAAAGUUUGGCCUUUUUGAUACAGGAGUGCCAAUGGGAUUGCAAUUCUCCAUUUUGAAACGUUCAAGAAUUUUCUUUAUAUAUGGCUCUUGUGACAGAGCAAGAAGCCUCUUUGAACGAUCUCUAUGGAUUUUAACACCUAAUAUGUAAUCUGCUUCACCCAUGUCCUUCAUUUCAAAAUUUGAGGACAACCAUUUCUUAAUGAUUUUAAUAUACUCUUUAUCAUUCCCAGCCAACAAGAUAUCAUCUACAUAAAGACAUAAAAUUACAAAUUUCUCGUUGGACCUUUUCAAAUAAAUACAGUGAUCUUCAUCCAUCAUGACAAAGUUGUAUGAGAUAAUCGCUCUGUCAAAUCUCAAGUACCGCUGUCUAGAAGACUGCUUUAGGUCAUAGAUUGAUCUAUCCAAUUUACAAACUUUAUUCUCUUGACCUGUUUUAAUGAAACCUACUGGUUGUUGCAUAUAGAUUUAUUCAUCUAAUUUUUCAUUGAGAAAUGCAGUCUUCACAUCCAUUUGAUGUGAUUCUAAAUCUAAACGUGCCACGAUAGCUAAAAGUAGGCGAAUUGAAGUAAAUCUCACUACUGGCGAAAAGGUCUCUUCAUAAUCAAUAACCUCUUAUUGAGUAUAACCUUUUGCAACGAAGCGAGCCUUAUACCUCUCUAUAGUCCCAUCAGCUCUUCACUUUAUUUUGAGAACCCAUUUGUUCCCAAUGGCUUUUCGACCAGAUGAAAGAUCAACCAAGUCCUAGACCUGAUUUGAUUUCAUAGACUCCAUCUCUUCUUCCAUUGCAUUCUUCCAUUUUUCCUUUGCAGGACAUGAUAGAGCUUCUUGUACUGAACUUGGUUCUUCACUAUCUUCAGGAGAUACUAGGAAAACUUGCCCUUCAAUCUCGAAAUGACAUUUAGGCAUACUAGGAAAACUUGCCCUUCAAUCUCGAAAUGACAUUUAGGCAUACUUUUUCUAGUACUCUUACAAAGUGAAAGCUCCGAUGUGACCUCGUCACUUGGAGUUGGAGAUAAAUUACUCCCACUUGGAUUGACAGGUGGAAGUGUUUCCUCUUGCACCUCAGUUGAUCCAUCAAAUACAACUCUAUCAUCUAAUUCAUAUAAAGGUUCUCCCUUUUUAAUUUCUCCCCUACUAGGAAAAUCAUUCUCAAGAAAUGUCACAUCGCGUGACUCUAUCUCAGUUAUAGUCCCAUCUUGAUUUUCACAUAUGAACACAUAUCCUUUAAACUAGUCUAAGUAUCUUAUAAAGAUACACUUCUUACCUCGAGCACCCAAUUUUCCAAACUUACUUGAGGAAUCAUGGAUAUAGACAGCUGAUCCCCAAGAUCUAAGAGAACUUAAAUCAGGGGAUCUACCUGUCCAAAGCUAAUAUGGUGUAGUAGGUAUUGAUUUAGAAGGAACUCUAUUCAGAAUGUAGGUCGCAGUUAACAAAGCGUCUCCCCAAUAGGAAAUAGGUAAGUUAGCAUGCGCCAUCAUGGACCUCACCAUUUCUAGCAACGUUUUAUUCCUCCUCUCAGCAACACCAUUUUGUUGAGGUGUAUUGGGAAUAGUUAAUUCCUAAUGAUUCUCUUAUCAUCAUAUAGGUUUCUGAACUCUUCAGAUAGAUAUUCACGCCCUCGGUCAGUUUUCAAUGCUUUCACCUUUCUAUCUAUUUGAUUUUCUACCACAUUUAAAUAUCGUCUAAAGUAUUCCAAUACCUCCGACUUAUGAGAAAUCAAAUAGACAUAACAACACCGCAUAAAAUCAUCUAUAAAAGUAAUAAAAUAAGAGGAUCCAUAUCUUUCCCUCACAUUCAUUGGACCACAUAUAUCCGAAUGGACUAAUUGUAAUGGAAGUUCGGCUCUUAAAGAUUUACCUAAUGGUUUUCGUGUUAUUUUUCCAAUUAGGCAAUGUUCACAAGUAGGUAACGAAACCUUAGAGAUUGAACCUAGCAAGCCUUCUUUUGCCAACCUAUUCAUUCUCUCUUGUCCAAUAUGUCAUAAUCUAGCAUGCUAUACAGAUGUAUCAACAUUCAAAUCUUUAGAAGAAGAAGAAGAUACAUUCAUAGAAAAACAACGAACAACAUAAUAAUUAUAAGUGUUUGGAUCACAAUCCAACACUAAAAAGCCUCCUUCUACAUGUCCAGAUCCAUAAAAUACACCACGAUUGUUUAUACGAACAAAAUUACCACAAAAAUUCAAACCGAAACCUAAUCUUAAAAUAACAACAACGGAAAUUAAGUUAUUUCGUAUCCCCAGUGCAAAUAGGACAUCAUGAGGGAGAAUAGUACGCCCACCACGCAAAUGUAACUUGCAUGCACCGAUCCCUUUCACCUCCACUCUAUCAUCGUUGUCGACAUAUAUCCACUUUGUACCAGCUGGAAAUCGAUGAAACUCCACAAACGCUUCUCGAUCCCUGGUUACAUUGUCUCUCCUGAGUUUACAAUCCACAUAGGAUAAGAUUCAAUUAGCAUAACAUUGCUUGAAACAUAAACAGCACUACAAGAAGUAUUUAUAAGAGCUACCUUCUUUGGCUCAGGGCAUUCCCGAGGAAAGUGACCCAGUACUUAACAGUUGAAGCAUUUCAGCUUGUUCUUAUCUUUCUUCUUUCCAAACCAUUUACCUUUAUUAUUGCGCUUGUAUUUGUUCUUUUUAGAUCUCUGUCCAGUUUCUUUUCUCUUUCCUUUUCCCGCAUUUGAACCAGUUUUUCUUAGGUUUAAAGCCUGAAGUUUUUCCAGAACUAGAUUCAGUUACAAAAGCUUGUCCUAGAGAUUUAGCUGCACCAAGGCACUCAUCUUCUAGUUCCACAUGGCGGGCAGCAUCAACAAAUGUUUUGAUACUAUCAUUAUGAGUCAAAUUGACUUUCAGAUGUUUCCCAAUUAUCAAGAAGAGAGCGGAUCAAAGCCUGAACUUGUUGCUCAUCAGAGAGUAUAUGACCAGCUGACUUCAAUUCCUUAAUCAUAGUAGACAUGAUCCUCACAUGUUGUGUGAUAUUGUGAUUAGGAAGUUUCUUAUAAGUGUCAAAUUUAAUAGUCAGCUGCUUUAGUCUAGUCAAACUAGUACCACCGUAUUUCUCUCUCAAAUAUAUCCAAAUGUCAUGAGCAGUUGGAAAUUGCUCACACUCAUGUAUGAGAUCAUCCACCACGGAACUUACCAAAAUUGCACGAGCAGUGGAAUUUUUCUUUUUCCAUGUCUGGUAAAUUUCCUGAUCCCUUCUUUGUUGAGCAGUUUGACCCACCCCUGGGUCUUCCAUCACGUAGUUAAUGCCCUCAAGGCAAUCCUGUUCCUCCAGCACAUACCAAAUUGAAUGGCGAUAAAAUUUUAUGGCACCAAGUGUUAUAGUUAUCGCCAUUCAAUUUGUCACCUUUAUUUAGGUCAACUAUGAUAUUUUUAGAUGCCAUGGUCUAUCAAAAUAUUAGAGACAAUCAUAUAAAUGUCCAUUUAUGCACACAUCAUUUUGUGCUCAUGCAAAUUAAGUUUUAUGAUAAUUUCACAUUAGACACGGGGUCGAAAGUUCACUAAGUUCCCAAUCAUCAUCCAUUAUCCUAAUGUUACAUUAUUACAAAAUUAAUUUCAUAGCGAAAAAUCACAGGUUCUAAGUCAAAAUAACUUAAACUUUUUCACCCUUAGAACUUCCACCAAAGUAAAAGAUUGAUCAUGUACAAAAUUAAUAAGAUAUUUUGAAUAAAUCUGUCAUAUAUAAAACAUAAAUCAAAAUGUCAAAUAGGUACAUUCGAUCAUAUUAAACAUCUUCAAACAACUACUAAACAUGAGGAAUAAAAUUUCACAUUAUUCGAUGAUUUUGAACUAACCAUACAUAUCUAAAUUAAUCACAAAAUUCGCAUUUUCUGAAUCUCAUUUUGUCUUCAAGAUUCUGACCAAAUAACUGUAGCAUAGAGGUGGUGAAUUAUCUAAAGCUUCAAUAGCAACAUCAUGCCAAUAUUUAGGAAGCGUCCUCAUUAGAUGAUACAUACUUUCCACCUCACAUAUAUGAUGUCCCAAAUGUAUCACUUCUCGACGUAUCCCUUCGUGAUAUUUUAUGUGCUGUACUAGGUUAUGUCACGGAUCCAUUUCAUAGUUUCUAUAAGCACAUAAUUUUUCAACACGUUCCACAUCCCGUGCUCUACUAGCUACUCCUCUAAUGAUGCUAAAAACACGUGUUGAUCCAGCCAUAUCUGAUCAAGCACAAUAAUUGAAAAACUAGUCACAAUGGAUCGCAUAACCUAAUCGAGAUCCACCACUCAUGAAUGUAUAGAAAAUGUGGUAUAUAAAAUACUUUCAGAGUAUUAUUCAUUAAAAAAAUGAGAACACAAAAAAAGGGCUCCCACUAGGCAAAUACCACUUAACAACACCUAACAAAAAUAUUCUUGAUUUUUUUUUAUUAUUUCAGGAUUUAAUCAAGUCCCAAAAUAUUGUAUAUAUAAAUGUUUUUGAUUACUUGAAAAUUAUUUUAAUUGCAUAAAAAAAUCAAGAAUAUUCGAGGGACCAAUUUGUAAUCUUUUAAAUUGAAUUUGGAAUAAUCAAUUUCCAAAAAAAUAUAUCAUUUUUGGACCAGCACACAACUUUUCAAAUUGGUAUUGGAAUAAAUAUCAUUAAAAAGUGUUGGGAAUAAAUAUUACAUUUUGUAAGAUUUGAGGGACUAACAUGCAAUUUUUCAAAUAUGUUUAACAUUCAAAAGUGUGGGGACCAACAUGCAAUUUUCCAAAUUACAUUUGGAAUAUUUAACAUUCAAAAGUAUGGGGACCAACAUGCAAUUUUCCAAAUUUCACUUACAAUAUUUUAGGGACCAACAUGCAAUUUUUUUAAAAUUGGAAUAUUGAAUUCCCACCUUCUACUACAGUUUCAGUUUCAAUUUUUUUUUUUCGGGUUAACAGUUUUUUUUUUUCAAAUUCCUAGUGAGAAUUCGGAGGGCAAUAGCUUCCUCAAUUCAAGGCCAAAUUUUAUGUUAUUUAUAUCGUUGGAAAGGUUUCGAGAAGAUCUAUCUAACCAUAUAAAAUAGGCAGUGUGAAACUUAACGUGAAAGAAAUUAUCAUGUGAUGAAGUUUCGAUUUUCUCAACUAGGGUUUGAUUUUUCUCCCAAAAUACAAAUCCAAAUGAAGUGAAAUUUUUCAGAUAUGUUCUCCAUAACAUCAUGAACAUACAGUAUAAAUUUCAUCAAUUUAUAUGAAGUAUAUCAAAAUUCGACAUUAACGACAUUCAAGGUUUCAAAGAAAACGGGAAUUCAUGCAUUUCAUUCAUUCUAAAACAUUUACAGCAUGUAUUUAAGUAAGAAAACAACCUACUUAGGCUCUGAUACCAAUGUAAAACAUGUUUUCAUGCUUUUAACCAAAUUUAAGUUGUGAAACUUACUUGAAAAUCCCAAAAACGAGGUUGAAUUACUUGCCUAUUAAUUGCUUGCCUCCAACACCGCCUUGUACCCGCUUCUUGGUCAAAACUCGAUCACCAAAGAAGAAAUUCGUUGUUCACAAUCCAAGAAACCAAUUAGAGAUGUAAUUUUUCCAAAAAUUAAGUUUCCACCGGCAUCCAAUUUUUACACCUUGAAAGAACCCGAAAUUUUAAUAUCCUUUUUGUUUUUUGCUUUUCUGAAUUAUGAAGAAUGGAAGUUGAUGAUGGGAGUUAUGGGUGGUGGGGAGGUUAACUUUCAAAUUCAACUUUCAACCCCUCCCUCCAAAAUUCACUUCCAUGUAAAUCGGGUCGGGUCAACCCACAUGGGCAACCAAUUUUCUUCCAACAAGUUCAAAUGGAAACAGAAUGCUGAAUUCAUCUUGUAGUUGAUGUAUACAUAAUCCUCCAUUGCUUCCUCAGUAGUGGUUUAAAAGCCACAAUCUCUCCAUAGUUAUUUGAACUAAAGUUACAUAACACAUUCAGUGCCUGCACCCUUUAAAAUUUUAAAUUAUUUGUUACAGUACCAUUCUCCACCACACAUUCACACAAUAAAAGAUUCUACACAUAAAAACCAAUAAAGUGUCUUUACUUUUUAACCACACAUUCCUUAAAAAAUACAAUUCAAAACUCUAACUUUCCAAAACAAACAGGGGCUCACUCUGCUCCCCUUCUUUGCAUGACUCCCUCCUGGCUCAUUAACACCAAGAACCACCACGGACCAUCGCAAAGAAAUGAUGAUGACACCACCAAGCAAACCUCAACUAUCACACAAUCAAAUGCCCACCAUUAACAACCCAAUUGCCCUCUGAAACCCCAAUACCGCCGAAAUCAAAGCACGGACUCAACACCACAAUUAGAAGACUACAACUACGAAAAAUAAAAAUUAAAAAUUAGAUAUAGACAUUUGUUUCUUUUGCUGUCAGACAAAACUGUGUAGUUGCAGAAUUAUACGGAUUUAGGAAUUGCUGAAUUAUACCAUACAAACCCGGAUAGCUCACUCGAGGAGGUUCUGCAUAUGCAUUUAGUGACAAUGGUGAUUAUGUUUGUUAAUCAUUUGUGAGUUGUGACUGAAUAUGGUAUCAAAUUUCAAUGGCAUGUAGACUUUUCCUUCUCAAUGAAUGAACGGGGUGAUCAAUCAAGUUUCAUUCGUGAGCAAUUUUUUCUCCUUUUUUAAUUGAAGGCAACUCAAUCUUCUAUUAUUCGUGUCAACACGAUUACCAGUUUUGCUUAUUUCAAUAUAUUAAAGGGGUUGGUUAAGUGAUGCAAUCAAAAUAUGAGAGACAACUUUAUAUGCAAUCAUUUUUUAUUUUUUUUAAAGCCCAUCAGGCAUUUAUUCAUACCAACCCUCACUUAAGGCGGAGGAAAACCAUAAUAACAACUGAUCAAUCAAUAAAAAUAAUGAAUAAUCUCAACUCCUAUCAACGCAAUCAAACAACAGAAAAAAGCCCAUCUUUUUUGACGAAUGUACACCGUACCCAUCUUGUCUAGAUGGAUCAACCUUCGACAAAGCCUUGGUAGUUCCAUACAUGAUAAGAACCGUUCUGUCUUCCCCUUAGCACCUAACUUCGCCAGCUCAUCCGCAACCCGAUUAGCUUCUCCAUACUGAUGCAUGAUGUGAAAAUCAAACUUCUUAAGAAGGUCUAUGAGAACUUCCCAAAAAUCCCACAAGUACCAUAACGUACAUUUUCUUGUCAGAAUCCAGGAAACCACUAACAACGAAUCACAUUCAAUAUCCACUUGAUAUAAUCCCAAAUCCUGACACAAGGUCAGUCCAUCAGUAAGCGCUCUCAACCCCGCCUCAUUGUUAGUGCCAUAUCCAAAGAAAGAAGAGAAACCUGCUAUCAGCCUGCCAGUUUCAUCCCUUACAACCCCACCACCACCACCAGCCAUGCCUUGGUUGCCUAGACAGCUUCCAUCUACAUUUAGCUUUACUCUGCCCGCCGUCGAUUUAGCCCAUUUAACAAUUCGAAGAGGCCACCAUUGGACUAAUAUCAAAGUUUCUAAGAAGUAAUUCUUCUGACCGCGAAAGAACUCGUUCUUUUUUCAAAUUGGAUGACACAUGUUGCAGCCAGAAUUUAAUCGAACGAAAAAUCUAUUCCACAGUUUCAUGAACACUUCCCAUUCUCGCUUUACAACGUCUCAUCCAUAGCCUCCACGUCAGUAUAGUGGGAAGUAACCCUUGUAAGUACCCAACUUGUGAUUUUUUACCUGCAAUGGCCCACCAUAAAUUUACUCUAUCAUACCAGUUUUGUUUAGAUCUCCACCGAAUACCCAAAGCCACUGAAACUUUCCUCCAAACUUCGUUUGCCACCUCACCUGUACUAAGAACAUGGUUGGGUGUUUCUUCAUUUCCCGUAAGGCAACAAUCACAACGAGAAGCUAAGGCUACACCCAUUUGCCGAACUCUACCAUCAACACUUAAAGCUUUAGAAAAAGCCUUCCACAUUAUCACUGACAUUCUUUUUGGGAGUGCAAAAUGCCAUAGCCAUCUACCCUAAGAGGUUUGGGGCUGCCGAACUCUAAUCAUGUCCCAUGCACUCUUGGAAGAGAAUGUUCCUUGACUAUUCGAUUUCCAAAUAAGAACAUCAUCCCCCUCUCUACAUUUACUCACCUUAGCCAUAACACUAGUGGCUUUGUCUUCCCCUACAAGUUGCCGUAAUUGAUUUAUAUUCCAACCACUAUCCAAGCAAAUAUCUUUGAUUCUAAGAGUUGGUUGAUCAAUAUGUGAUGCGUCCCGUGACAAAGGGCCGUCAUCUAACCAAUGAGCAUACCAGAACGAGAUAGAACCCUCCCUAAUCCGCCAUUGACUAUUAUUAAUCACAUCAGGGAUGCAUCCCACAAUAGAGCACCAAAAUCAAGAGCCUAUACAGCGUAAAUUGGUGACAUCAAUCAAACCAUACUUCGUAUAUUUUGCCCGAAAAAAAGUUGCCCAUAAGCAAUCUCAUGACAGUAAUUUCCAUGCAAACUUCAUGUGUAAGGCACGCUGGACAUCUUCAAAUUUCCUAACCCCGAUCCCCCCUUCCACCACCAGUUUACAAAGUUUAUCCCAAGAACACCAUUUCUUUCUAGUCCUUCCAUUAACCUCACCCCAAAAGAAAGAUGAGAGGAUGGAAUUGAGUCUCUUAAAACUAGAUUUUGGAACAUUCAACACAGACAACAAAUGGGUAGCCAUACACGUGAGAACAUGACAAAGUAAGACCAAUCUGCCCCUUACGACAGCAAUUGAAGCUUUCAACCUACAAUUUUCUUUCUGAUUUUCUCCACCAAGGGCUCAAGAUGGCGGGCAGUAAAACGACCCUAGACCACUGGAACACCCAAGUAGAUAACUGGAAAUUGACCCUCCUUAAAACUACUCUCCCUUAAUGCUAUUCCUUUCCGAGUCACUAAACAAUUUUUUGAGAAAAAAAUAGCAGUCUUUUCCUUUUUGAUCUUUUGACCAGUCCAGCUCUCAUAUAGACCUAGAACCUUUCUGAGCUCUUUGAUAGACCUUUUCCCUCCAUUGGCAAAAAUGAUUAAAUCAUUAGCAUACAUCAAAUGAGUUAUCGCAGUCGCGCCCUAGGGUGUGAGAAAUACUCAAUCCGUCCUUCCUCAAAACCCCUCUUCAGCGGUCUAGUCAACACCUCUUACAUGAUAAUAAACAAAUAAGGGGAUAAAGGAUCUCAUUGACAAAGACCGCGCGAUGAUUUAAAAAAACCUUGCUUGGUUCCAUUCAUCAUCACUGAGAACCAUGGUGUGGAUAUACACUGUUCAAAUAACUUACAAAACCUCGUCGGGAACCCAAAGGAUGAUAAAACAUGAAGUAAGAAAUGCCACUCCACCCUAUCAUGUGCUUUAGCCAUAUCUACUUUAAUCAUCACAUUUCCACCAUGAACCUUUUUAUUCAGAGAGUUCACUAAUUCUUGAGUGAGUGUAAUGUUCUCGAAAAUACUUUGACCUGGGAUGAAGGUUCCUUGCUCUUGAGAAAUAAUCCUAAAAAGUAUAACACUCAUUCUCUGUACUAAAAUCUUCGAAAAUAUUUAGUACACAAUAGAGCAAAGACUGAUUGGUCGAAACUUAUCAAAACCGCUAGGAUUCUCCACCUUUGGGAUCAACACUAUAUAGGAUGAUGUAUAAAAUCGAGGAAGCACCCCUCUUUCAAAAAACUCCUUUGUUGCCUCCACUAGAUCCCCUUUAAUAAUAUCCCAGCACUUGAUUAAAAAAGUUGAUCCAUAUCCAUCAGGCCCAGGUGCGCUAUCCAUAGAUAUCGAAUGAGUUGCAGUUCGAACCUCCUCUUCAGUCGGCAAAGCACAUAGCAUCUAUCCUUCCUCUUGAGAACUGCAGACUCAAUGAUAUGAGAUAAAUCUGGCACAAUUUCGCUUUCCUCGCUCGUAACAACAAUCUGAAGAUAUUUCACAGCUUCUGUAUGUAUUUGCUGCGGAGUCAACAGAAUAGUGUCGUCUGUAAGCUUCAUCUGAUUUAACUUUGAUUUACUUCGUCUUUGCGAGACUACAGGAUGAUAAAAUUUAGAAUUGUUAUCACCAUCAGACAACCAUUUCUUUUUCGUCAGUUGGGACAAUCUAAUUUCCUCUCUUCUUUGCCAUUCCUCCAAUUCAAUUUUAGAAAUCAAGUAUUCUUGUUCUGCCUCAUUAGAAUAUACAACUUGUAACCUGCUAUCGAGAGCCUCCACAUGUUCUUCUAACUCCAAAAUAACAUUAUCAACCCUCCCAAAAAUCUCUUUAUUCCGCACUUUCAAAGCUUUUUUAGUAGCCUUUAGUUUAGCCGCUAAUUUUUCUAAGCCACCCAACAUCAAACCACUAUCUCCCAAUCUCCAUGCUGCCUCCACAAGUGGCAAAAAACCCUCAUGCUCACACCACAUUCGUUGGAAUCGAAAUGGAGUCGGGCCUUACAAAGCAUACUUCUUUUGCAAGUUAAUAGUCAUAGGGCGGUGAUCAAAAGAUGUUCCCGACAUGUACUUCAUACUUGCUUCCGGGAAGUCACGUAACACCUCCUCAUUUACCAGUGUUCUGUCCAGUCGCGCCCAACUUCUAGUCAAGCCCUCAUGUCCAUUGCACCAAGAUAAUUUUCUACCUAGAACUGGCAGCUCCAAGAGACCACACUUGUCAAUGCACUCGUUAAAAUCUUCCAUAGCCUGAAGAGGUCUAGGGUGGCCACCCACUCGCUCAGAGUCAUUUCUAAUGAUAUUGAAAUCGCCAAAGACCACCCAAGGAAGGCCACUCACCCUAACAUUCUCCAACUCUUGCCAAAGUUUCCUCCUUUCCAAAGCAUUACAUUUCGCAUAAAUGAACGACACUAACAUCUUAUAUUCUCCCUUCAUGAAAACUCCAUGUAAAGCUUGAUCCGAGAAAUGAACCCAGUCAACCUUGUAAUCUUCACUCCAAAAAGCCCAUAAUUUACCUCCUGUUUUCUCAUUUGAUAUAAAGUUUGGCAACUUUAUUUUACAAGCCAAAAGCUUCAUUUUUUCUUCCCCAUGAAAAGGUUCCACGAUCCCUAGUAUUUCCACAUUGAAUUUCCUCACUAACUUUCCUAUCCUUCGUUUUGACGUGCCCACCCCUCGCACGUUCCAUAUUAAUAGUUAAUCAAUCAUAAGUCAAGUUUAGUGGGGCAUGCUCGCGCCCUCUGUGAUGCUCUAGUAACCUGGGGAAUAGUCUUCUGUACUUCGGUAUAUUGUUUAUGGACCUCUGAAUCAGACCAAUAUUCUGAGUCUUUCUCCCCUUCGUAUCCCCUUAUUUCCUUUUCACAAUCAGACUCAUGAUGGAUAGGAUGCCGCUGUUGUUCUUCUCCACCAUCUUGCACAUUCACAUCAUCACCAUCAAUAGGAUACCCCUCAUUCCCUACUGGUAUCUGGUCAUUUACGACCUCCAAAUCUUCAUCAACCACUUUGGAAAAGUCCUUCACAAUGUCAAUGUUGGACGGAGCUUCCUUCCCUGUACCUAUAUCAACGUGUGUUGAAUCAUCUUUCAUAGUCAAAUCCUCACUUAAUUUAGCCUCCAGUAGUACAACCUCCCUCUCUCCAAUUUGAGCUUUCUCUACCCCAAUCGAACCACUAUCUCUCGUAUUCACCAAGGGGUCAACCUCCUUAAACCUCACCAUAGCAUCACACAAACUCUCACUCUCCUUGACAAAUUUACCUGCCCCCACCGACGAUUCCCCCUUCUCAAUUCGAGUAAUCUCCAGUUGCCCAAUUAUUUCAUCCACCUUAUCUUUGUUUUUCGCUAUAUCAUGCCCCUCUUUCUUGGGCCAUUCUUGUCUCUCCAUCACUUUUUGAGGGAGCACACGGCUCUGUCCAACCCGACACACAGAUUCAGGAUGACCUUGCCGACCACAUUUGAUACAAUAGAAACCUGGCUUCUCAUACCAAACAUCUUGCCAAAAUGUCUCCGAUGAAGUAACAAUAAGAAAACUACUGACUGGUUUUGCAAGCAAAUCCACUUCAAUACACAUUCUAGCCCCUGUGGCCCGAGACCGAUUCAAAGUUGCAUGGUGAGUCCCCAAGUAUCUUCCAAAUCGAGUCGCUAAAAUUCUUAAGCAAUCUGGUCUAUACAUAUGCAUCGGCAAACCUGGCAAAAAGAUCCACUGUGCAGCAAUAGAAGAUUCUCUAUUGAGAUCAAACUCUGUCGACCAUUUGAAGAGACGAAAUGUCGCCCCAGCCAAGGAUCGACCCUCUCUUGUCCACACAUGCAAGUAAUUUGUCUCGUUCUUCAAUUGAAUCAGCACAUGUGAGACAUCCAUGUAGCUAAUUACUGGAAUCACUUGAAGGCCACAAGUUUCGUUAACAGUCUAUCGAACCACAUCAAUGUUUGGCCUCACCGUGAGGAAUUUCAUCACCAAAGCAAACCGUAAGUCCUCAGAUAGGGUCUUCUCUUCCACAUCUGUAAAAAUAAAUCCAAGCUCAUCGUUAAUCAAUUUUGGACCUCGCUUCGUGAUGGCCGUAUCCAUUUUUAUCACCAUCUGAUUAAUCCCAGUUUUCUCGCGCGACUUGACAACCUCUGAAUAGAAUCUGUUGUGUUGCACUCCAACCAGAAACCCACCCAUUGUGGCUCCACCCUGAUGCUCACCGAAAAGCCGUGUCGACGCUGGUUGCACCGGCAGGAUAGUAGUCAUGGUAAUCCCGUUUGCAGAUGAGAUUCAGGCUCGAGCCCUAAUGGUUUUUGUAAAAUCACCAAAAGUUAAUUUUUUCCUAAAAAAAAUAUGCAAUCAUAACAUGCUAAAGAGCAGCUAUUUGGAUGAGAAAUUAGAAUGGGAUAAUCAAGUUUAUCGUGUAUAGCAGCAAAAUGACAAUACAAAUUCUGGAAUUUGUUACGAGAUAAUGUGUAAUCUAUACAAGGGACCAUCAUAUAAUAAGCAACAGCAUUGCAAGACUCCAUGCAAUUUCAAGUUAACUCUACAACUAAAAUUGAUUUAUUUUCUGAGGUAUGAUAUCAAAGAAAGAUUACACAAAAGAGAACGAUCAGUGGAAUCGUCCAGAAAAAUUCACAAACGUAUUACCAUCAACCUAAUCAGCAUGCUUUCCGGUACAAGAAGUGGAAGAGGAAACCAAAUUCCUCCAGAGAUAACUUCCACUUGACAUGUCCACAAAGGUCCACCCACCGUUCCUUAUUACUUCAUACACCUGUAAUCACAUAUUCACAUUAUAACAACAAAUUGGCUCCACGUUCACGCAUAACAAAAAUUAAACAAUAAUAUAACAGAGCAAAAACAAGAGACCUUGGAGAAAACAGUGAUAGCAUCAGGUGAUUCAAUUUCUUUGUCGGUUGGGGACUUCACGUCGUCAUUUUCGGGGUUGAUAGGAGGGGAUUUGAGGUUUCUGAGGACGAAAAACCCAGCGAGGGCUGCAGAGAGGAAGACCAAAAUUAUUCUGAGAGGGCACAUUUCGCAGUCUCUCUCUCUCAGGGGAGGUUUUAGAGAGAGAAUUCUCUUGAAAACAAUUUCACAAUUCUAGACGUACAGAAUUAAUUUUUCAAAUGAAAUUAUGGGAGAUUUUUCUUAUUGGUCUGUUACAUUAAAAAGUCUAUUUUACCCUUAAUGAAAUAAUUCUUCCUAUAUUGCUCAAUAUAUAUCCUAAUCUAUAUUCUAUUUUGAAUUUUUGAAUAUAAAUUCAUUCUAUUUGGAAUAAUCUGCAACAUGUUGUUCACAUUUAUUAUUUAAUAUAUUAUAUUCUUCAGAAGAUACAUCUAUAUUUUUUAAUUGAGAAUACAUAUUUUUUAUUACUUCUAACAUUCUUUCUAAUAAAUUAUCCAACCCUUUAAUUGUAUAUCCUGGCAUUUAUAUAAAUAAUCAUCAAAUCAUGCAAUUAAUCUCUUUGAUUCUCUAAGAUAUAAAAAGAUCCAUUCCAAUUUUAGAAAAAAUUUAAUAGUUUUACCUUAGAUUUGAUCUGAAUUUUUAUUCUUAAAACCGAGUGACCUUUGAGCUCUGAAUGUAUAAACUGCUUCCUUCAACGGCCUCCUUGCCUUCACGGAAUCUUUGCUAUUUCAACUUCUUGCUCUCACUAUAUCAAUUCUAAAGAAUAAAAUUCUAAACUUCUGUUAAAUAAAAAUUCUAUUUUUGCUAAAAUAAGAAGGAAACUUUCUAUUUGAUCUUUCAAUAAUUCAUGGGAAUAAAGAUUUAGAAACUCAUUUUGAUAUCAAAAUAUUGGAAUUUUAUUCCUAUCAGAAUUUAUACAAGGUUUCUAUUUAGUACAAAGGGAUUUCCAGAAAAACUGGUUUUAGAAAUGUUGAUUCUGCACUAAAAAUCGAGCUUACAAUUUAAGAGAAGAUACUUUGAUUUCAAGAUAAUAUAAUCUCUAUCUAUUACAAUGCCUCUAUUUAUACAAAUAUAUGAGGUUCUAUAAUUGAUCUAUUACAUCAUUCAAUAUAUCAGCAAAAGCACACUUGCAUAUCUAUUAUUUUUCUCCUUGGGCCUACAUCUUCACAUGCUUUUUCAACUUUUUAUCCAAAAAGCGUCUUUUUUAUCUUCUAUGUCUUUACAUGCAGCUGUAUUAUUGCCCUUCAUAUAGCUUUGUCAAAUGUGCUCUUAUAUUGUCUUCUUUUUUCAUAUACAGUUGGGGUACUCCCUUAGCUGGCGGGAUUCUUUUAUAGUGGUAGGACAUCCUGAAAAUUGAUGUAUUUCAAAUCUUGUAAUAUAAUCCUUCAAUAUUUCUGAUUUUCCAUGUCCUUGAUUUGAUACCAGCAUCCAGUUUUCAUAUUGGCACAAGCAUGAGAAUUUUUUGUCAAACUAAUUUUUGGCUAUGUUGUAUAUGGCUUUAAUUCCAAGUGCUCUUCUAUGUCUGAUCCAUGAUUUUGUCAUUGUUGGAACUUUUCUAUCAUUUUCCACCACAUCUAUUUGGAAGUUGGCUGCAACAUAUCCAAUUGAGAUUAUGUAUUCAACUGGAUAGAAAACAACUUCUUCAUAUUCAGGACUUACUGAAUAAAAUUUUAAAUAUAUUUUCGUCCCUUGACAAAUCUUGAUACUUCUUUGAUAUGUCAUCAAAUUUUGAAAUUUCAAUCAAAUAUUUUCUUGGAUAUAUCAAAUCCAUAAAUCCAUAGUCUAACAUAAUUUUUAUAAAUGAAAGGUCUCCUCCUUCCAUGGCUAUUAUUCUGGGAUACACAUUAUUUCCCGGAUAAAUGAAAUAUGAAUCACUCAUUUUUAUUUCGUUAGCAAUUUUGACUAUUUCAGCAUAUUUUUCUUAUUUUGGAUCUGAAGGGAUUUUAUCUUCUUAGUCUAUGAUACUGAUUGUUUUAGAAUCUCUUUUAUCUCCAUGUAUCAUCACUUUUUUGGUUGAUGAUAUUGAAAUGGAAUCUCAUUUUUUAUCAGUUAGUAUAUUGUCACAUCUGGGUCCACUGCUGGUUUCAGUUGUCCCUGUUGGUAUUGAUUUGGAAAACUCAUUUCUGAGUUCUUUGGUGGUAUAUCUGUCUCAAACAGUAUAUCUUUUAGUUGUGCUGCAAUAUCAUCAACUUGAUUUUUGAGUUCUAUGGUCUCUUUAUGAUGCUCAAUAGUAAUAUUCAACAAUAUUUUUAUAUUGGAAUUGAACAUCUCUGAGAUUUGUGUUGCUCCAGUAUUUAUGUCUUCAAAUUCAUCUUUAAGAAAAUUUGUCCUUUUUUUGUAUAUGUAGGAUAGAUUGGUAUAAAUCCAUGACCCUAACUUUAUCCAACAACAAAUUAUAUAUUUCUGCUGAGAAAAUCUGCAAGAAAAUUAUUAACUCCUUUAAUAUGAACUAUAUCAAAAUUAUUAAAUGUUAAAUAAGUUUGCCAUCUAUGGAGCCUUCUGUAUUGAGGUUCUAAUGGUAAUUUACUCCUGAUUAAUCCUACAACUUGAGAAUUAUCAGUCUCAACAGUAAAUUUCUUAGAUAACAAGAAUAGUGAAAACUUUCUUAUCCCUCUAAUAAUUGCUAGUAAUUCUUUCUUAUGAGUGAUAUAAUUUAUUUCUGAUUGAUUAAAAGUUCCACUUGAAUAUCUACAAAUCUCAUUUAAAUCUGUUUUUAAUAUUGCUGUCCAAUAUUUAUCUGAAGCAUCAGUAUUAACAAUCAAAUUAUCUUUUUCAUCUAGUAAUCUUAAUUUUGGUAAAUUUUUACAUUCUUCUUUCAAUGAUUUAACUAUUUUUGUAUGUUCUUCAUUCCAUCCCUUAGUAUUUAUUUUUUUGAGUAAAACUUGUAUUUUGUGCAUUUUCUUAGAAAGCUUUUUAAUAAAUCCUUUUGCAUAAUUUAAACAUCCUAAAAUUUUUUGUAUUUGUUCUUUAGAUUAUAAUUUAUCUAGAAAGCUUUUUAUCUUUUUAGAUAUACGAGUUUGCAAUUUUAUUCCUCUUUUAUCUAUUGAUAAUCUAAGAAAAUAGAUUUCUUAUUUUUCUAUCAUAGAUUUCUUUUUAGAAAGUACAAUUCCUUCUUUUUUACAUUCAUUUAUGAAUUGUAUUAAAUGAUUCCUAUGUUCUUCUUUACUGUUAGAACAUAUCAAUAUAUCAUCUAUAUAAACAAUUAGAAAUUCAUUAAACUUUUUAAAUAAAUUAUCCAUUUUUCUUUGAUAUAUUUGUGGUGCAUUUUUAAUCCAAAUAGCAUUAUUAACCAUUCAUAUUUUCCUUAAAGUGUACUAAAUGCAGUAUAUUGUAUACUAUUUUUUUCGAUUUUUAUUUUUCAAAAUCCUAAUUUACAAUCGAAUUUAGAAUAAUAUUGUUUUCAUUUUGCAAGGUUUAUUAAAACUUUUUUAUUUGGUAAACAAUAUCCAUCAAUUUAGUAUAUUUAUUUAAUUCUUUAUAAUUAAUAAUCAUUCUAACUUUUCUUCUAACCUGUUCAGAAUGUUUCAUAACCAUAAAGGCUGGACUACUAUGAGGUCCAUUGCUUGGUCUUAUAAGUUUCUGUUCUACCAAUUCUUUUAUCUGAUUUUUAAAUUCUUGUGUAUCUUCUAUCUUAUACAUUAUUGGUCUAACUCUUAUUAUAACAUUUUCUGUCAAUUCUAUUUUAACUUUAGGGUGAUGUGGUUUCCAAAAUAAUAAUGGAUUUUCUCAAUAAACUUUUUCUGAUUGUUCAAUAAUUUUUUCUAUACUUAUUUCUAUUCUCGUUUUUAAAACUUUUUUAUACAAUAUUCUUUUAUUUUUUAUUUCAUUAAAUAUUAUUGUUUUUUCUCUCUUUUAUCACCACGCUAGGCUGGUUGAACUCUAUAAAGUUUAAAUUCUCUUGAAAUUUUUAAUAAAUGUCCACAAGGUAUUUGUAGCAUUAUCGUAUAAUUAUUUUGCUUAUAAUAUUGAAAUUGUUGUAUAAAGUCAUUUCCUAAUAAUAUAUCAUACUCUAAUUUAUCAUAUUUAUAAAUUUUAUUUAUUAUAAUUUGUUUACUUCCAAGAAUUAUACUAACUUUAUCAACACUAUUAAUUAUUUGGAUACUUUCUCCUGUGACUCCAGUUAUUUUUAUAUUACUAUUAUUAUUCCAUGAUUUUAUCAAAAAACUUUUAAAUAUUGUUAUAUCACUUCCUGUAUCUAUUAAAACUCAAGUUGUUAUAUUUGUUUCUAUAAUAGUGAUUUGUAUAUAUACAUCCAAUAGAAAACUUAUCUGAUUAUUCAUUUAGUUCUUUUUACAUAAUAUAAUUUGUAUAUUAUAGACUAUAUAUAAUCCUUCUAUUUUUAUAUUAUAACCUUCUAAUCCAUUUAAAAAAACUUAUUCCUAAAAGUAUAUGAGUGUUUAUAUCCAUAUUUUUAUCUAUAUAAUAUGGUACUAAAAGAUCUAUUUCUCCUAUUUUUAUUGGUACCUUAACUUCUAAAUCUGUAAUAUGUAUUUAUCCAUCAAAAUUUACAUAUCUAUAUGGAUCAGUUUUAUGAGUUAUUAAUCAUUUAUUUCUGAUUGAAGCUAUAUGAUAUUCACUAUCUCAUGUAUCUAUUAAUAUAUUUGGUCAAUUUAUAUUUCAUCUUCCAUUAUAAUAUUUUUCUUCUAUUUUCAUAUUUCUAGCAUUCCUAUAUAGUUUUGUUUUUUUUAUAUUAUUAAAUUCUUCUAACUGGUUUUUAUUAGGUAUUCUAAGACUUUUUGAUCUUUUAAUUAAUUUUCCAUUCUUAAAUAUUAUAUUAUUAGAACAUUCUCCUUCAUUUAAUUAUGUUAUUUCAUGAUUAUUUUUUGUUAUACAAAAUUCAUAUUCUUCUGAAAUUAAACUUAUUUUUUUACUUGAUUCUAUUAUUUUACUAAUAUCCUUACAUUCUUUAUGUAUUUCAAUAUAAGGUUUAUUGGAAUAAACGUUACCAUAACUAGAAUUGGUAAAUGUGUAUAAAACUCUAUACUCUAUAGUUAUAAUUUGAUCACUUGGUUGCAUGAUAUCAUUUCUAUGUAAUUUAAAAUGUAAUCAUAAAAUUUCAUUAAAGUUUCUAUCUUUCAAUGAUACACAAUAUUUUGGGUAACAUGUAAACAUUAUCUUUUGAUAUGCCAGAUUUUCUUCUAUUGUUUCUAAAUGACUAUCUUUUAAAUUUAUUAUUCUUCUAUCAUGUAAGGUUAUAAUCAAGGGUGAAUUUAUUCCUUCUCUGAAUAAUGAUUUAAACAUUAUUUGUAUUCCUGCUAAAUAAACAUAUUGGAUUUUUUCAUUUUGUUUUUUACUAACAUUUGUUAAUAGUUCUUCAACUAUAUUUUUUGUUAAAAUAUUUAAUUUAUGUUGUCCACAUGUUCUUAGAUCUAUAGUUUUUUUUUUAUUUUGUGAUAUUCAUUUAUUGCUAUCAUUUCUCAUUUCCAAAUUCUAUCUAAGAUUUUCCAUUUUCCUAUUUUUAAAUUUAAAGAUAAUUUUUGUAAUUUUCUAAAUUUAUUGUUAUCAAAUGUAACUUUUAAUCCAUAUCCUUCUAUUCCUUCAUAUUCUUGUAUAUUUAUAUUAUCACUUUCUAUUUCCUCUAUUUCCUUAUUCUGAUUCAUCAUCCUCUGUUUCACUUAUAUAAAUUUCUUGAUUAUAAUAUUCUUCAAUAUCUGAUAUUUCACUCAAUUCAUCUUUUAUUUUCAAAUAUUUUUUUGUAAUAUUUUAACUUUCUUUUUAUUACAAUCAGGGUUUAUAUGACCUAUUUGUCCACAAUUUUAACAUUUACAUUGACUUUUAUUUUUCUAUUGACCAUAUGGGAUAUUUUUUCUUUUAUAAUAUCUUCUUCUAGGUUUUAUAUAUUUUUUAUUAAAAUUUCUAAAUUUUUUAUUUUUAUAUUUUCUUUUAUUAACCCUUCUUUCAGGAUUACAUUCCCAUUGUAUAGGAUUUUCCAUAUCUUCACAAUAUAUUCUAGUUAGUUUUCUUGAUUUUUUAUUAAUUGUCUUUAUUGACAUAUAUAUGCAAGUCUUUCAAAUAAAAAUUUUAUUUUUGAUCCUAAAGUUCUAGGUAUUUUAACAUUAUCUCUAACAUAUUUUUCAAAUUCUAUUUUAAAAUAUAUUCCUCACGAACCUGGUAGUUUAUUAUAAUAGAUAUCUUGGUAUACUUCUUGGUUUUCAUUACUAUAAAAUUGAACAUAAUAAUAGUUUCUAAAUUCACAAGUAUAUUCUUUAAUUUUACACAUAUCACAUAUUGUUAAAUUUAUUAGCUUAAUUCUAGCAUUGUCUCUUUCUCUUUCAGCAUUUUUUAUCCAAUUUUCUCCUAAAAAUUCAUCUGAAAUAUAUUAUACUAACUUUUCUAUACCUUGUCUAUCUGGAUUUAUUAUUUUUGUUUGUACAUUUCUUUUUAUUAAUGUUAUCAUUAUUUAUUCCUCACCACCAAUUUCUAGCAUCUCCUUCAAAGGAUACUAUUAAGAAAUAUAUUCUUCUUUCGGUAUUUUCCCAUGUAUCAUCUUUAUUAUAUAAAAAGAAUAAUAUCAUUGAAUUUGUCCAAAUUAAUAAGAUUUUUUUGGUAUCUAUUUUACAAUUUAAAUCUAUUUUUGUUCCUCCAUGAUCAAUAGGUUUACAUAAUUAUCAUUUAAUUCAAAUCUGUUUCUAUAUUUAUUUCCUUUAGGUGGUUGUCUAUCUCUUACUUUAUCAUAAAAUUGUCUACAUGGUUUAUUAUAUAUAAAUGCAUAACUUUAAUCUAAAUCUUGUAAUUCUUGUUUAGAAGUUUCUAUUGGAUUAAGUCCUCCUCCAGUAUUCAUUAAAACUUGGUAUUUACUUAUAUCACUUAAAUUUAAUUGAUCAAAAUUUUCUAUAAGUAAAUCUAAUUCCUUAUUCAUCUUUAUCUUUCUUUUCUUCUACUUUUAAUUUUCCUAAUAUUUUUUCUCUAGAUUCUUCUUCUUUUAAUAUUUUUGGUAAUAUAUUUUUUCUAAAUUUGUCAUCCAUACUUCUUGUUUCUAUUAUUACACUUUCUUUCUCAUUAUAUUUCUUUCAUAUUCGAGUCAUUUCUUUUUCUAUUAAUUUUUUAUCUAUUUUCUUUUCUUUGUUUUUAUUAUUUUUUUUAAUUCUCUAAUUUCAAUUUUUAAUAUAUUUAUAUCAUUUCUUGUUUCUCUUAUUUCAUUUCUUAAAUCUUGUAUAUUAUUUAUUAACAUUUUUAUUAAUGACUUUAAUUCUUCGAUAUAUUCACUUAUUGACAUAUUAAAAUCAUCUUUCUAACAUAUAAGUUAAUUUACAUCUUUUACCUUCUUUUUUAUCUAUUAUUUUUUUCAAAUUUUCUGUUGGCUAUAUCUGGAUUUAUUAAUUCUUCUUUUACUAUACUGAAAUAUUUACUCUCAAGUUUUAAUCUUUCACAUUUUAAUUUUAUUAAUUGUCUUUUAUUUGACACUCUUAUUCCUUCUGAUAUAACAAAUAUCUGUAUUUUUUCUUGUAUUUUUUUCAUUUUUAUAAGUAAUUUAUUUAAUUUUAAAUUUGUAUCAUCACUUACACUCGUACUUCUCUUUAUAAUAUAAAUUAAUCUCUUCAUCUUCAUAUUCUUUAAUAAUUUUUUCAUACACAUAUAUUUCUUUUAUCUACCAUAUUAUUAAUUUUUCUAAUAUUUUUUCUUUUAUUUCUUUAUGUAAAUCUUUAACUAUUGUUAAUGUCAUUAUUUUUAAUUUAUUAGAAAUAGGUUUUAGAAAUAUAUAACUUUCUCUUCCUUCUUCUAAUUUAUAAUAAUUAUCUAUUUUUCUUAUUUUAAUUUUCAUGAUCUCUAUGCUUUUAUCAAGAUGUAAAUAUAAAUAUUUGUAUAUUAUAAUUAAUUAUUAUUUUCAAGAUGUAUAAUCUAAAUAUUCCUUUAAUUUUAUAAUAAUUAAUCUAUUAUUUAUUAAAUUUAUAUAAAAUCUAAGUGUUAUUCUAAAUCUAAAAAUUUUUAUUUCUUCAGGUAAUCUAUUUUUUAUGGGUUUCCUCAUGAUCUCUAUGGCUCUGAUACUAAUUUGGAAGGGGGGCUACUUAGAGCGAACAAAAAUCAAAUAAAUCUAUAAACAAAAAAAAUCUAUCAAGUAAUAUUUAAUUUUAAGGACUAAAAUGCAAGAUUUCUAUAUUAUAUUAGCUUGUUAGGCAAUAUUCAAAAUGAGGGGUAUUUUAGGUAUAUUCAUGUGAUAAAAUUGGUCAAAGGUCAUUUUGGAAAAAUGGCCUCUUUAUUUAGGCUAUUUCCAUGUAUUUCUCUGAAAUUAUUGAGACGAAGAGGGAGAGUCAAUAAUGUAAGAAAAGUAUCGUAGCGGUUGUUACAGGGAUGACCUAUUCUUGUUCAAAGUUAUUUGGUGUCAUUUCCGUAAAACAAAAUUACAUAAUUGGUCCUUAAAAUAUAAUUCUUCAAACAACUUGGUCAUUAAAUGUACUCUUAAAACGCCAUAAACUCAAAACUUUUGUUAGAAUAUUCUUCUUAGUUGUAAUUAAUAAUAAAAAUGAAAAUAAAGGAAACGUACUCGUCUGCUCACUUAUAUUGCUUGCUCUUUGCAGGAAUAAAAAGUUCAACCCGUGAACCAAAUGGAGGACACGAAUUGAAGAGGGAUUGGGUAGCACAAAUAAUUAGAUUGAAGGACUAGGGUUGGGGUUGAGGAGGAGAUGAAGGGUUUGAGACCAAAUUAGUAAAAAUUUUAAUUUAUGUUGUGUAUGUAUUACAAAAUUGGUUAUACGUUAGGAUUAGUAAAUUUGACACAUAAUUUGUUCUCUUUAUUGAGUCGAGAUACUGUAGGAUAAAAAGACCAAAUUACAUAUAGUUGAUAGUUGGAAAAAACCGAUUUAUUUGUAGAAAGCAAUUUUUAUCUUUAUAUAACUUGUUGAAAUUUUGUUAUAAAAAAGUGAUGAAUGGUUUAGUCAUUAUCCAACAAACAUUUCAAAAUUUUAAUUUGAAAAUAAAAUAAGGUCCAUUAUAGUAUUAUUUAUGGGUUGGAUCCCACCAAUUUACCUAACUCUAUGACUUCAUUUUUCAACGUGCUUUGCAUAUACUUAUUUCGUUAAACUGUGUUGACAAAAUGUGUCCACUUUGUUUAGAAAAAGAAGCUUCAUCGCACUCGAUUGCGUGUACCAUUCUCUCUCUCUCUCUCUCUCUCUCUCUCUCUCUCUACUUUUGAUAAGGGAAAACCGCACGUAUAGGUGCAAGUUUCACAUGAGCCUUACAGGUCUCUCACCGUUUGGGGGACAGACCCCACAUGUAUUUAAAAAAUAAAUAAAAUUGUGGAGCCACACCCCACAUGUUUCAUCUAAAUCUACGAUAAGGUAUAGGCUCAAUUAUUAUUUUGAAAUGAAUAUAUUAUCUAACAUUAGUUGUGCUUUAUGUGACAUUAUGUAAUAUAUUCAACUAAAGGUAAAAUUAUGUAAUGCCACUAGUAAUGCUACAUAGACUUAUGUUAAAUACCAAUAGUAUAAAUAACAUUACUCUUAAUGUUAUGGAUUACAUUAAAGGUCAUGAAUACUUAUUCAUUGCCGAACUUAUGUUAUCAAUUUUUUUCAUCGCAUUAAACUUUUCAUUUAUUAGUAUAUUUUAUCCCAAUGACAGUUUUCGUUUAACAAGUCCAUUUAGAACAGGGUAAACUGUGUUAUUUGUACCUCAAAUUUUUUAAAUAAGCAAAAAAAUAAAAUAAAAAGACAGAAUAUUUAGACAUAAAUCAUCAUUGAGACUAGAUGUGAUAAUUAGUGAAACAUUGAAGAUAAGAAAGUGACCCAAAAAAAAAUGUGGGAACAUAAAUAUGACAAUAUGAAAAAAUUGAACUAAAAAGUAGUGUACAAAGGAAAACUGUGGUCUUAUUAUAGCAUUCGAGAGACUCACAUGAUAAUUCCUCUUCCUUCAAACUUUUUUUUUUCUAUAGCAUAUUUUUGGCAUGAAGUAAUUAACAAUAUGGAAUAGUACUAUAUCGGUCAAAUGUACUGAACAUUUACAUAACUUAAUGACUAAAGCGAUUUAUGUUAUGAUUUUGUUGAACCUAAACUUGGACCAAGUUUUUAGCCCCAUAACUUGGAUAAGUCAGAGCAACUCGUACAAUCCAACUACUACGCUUUGAUAAAAAUGGUCAUCAUCAUGAGUCAAGUUUAAUUAAAGGACCAAGUUAUCUUGACAGUGAAGGUUUGACACCCUCCUUGACAGACACUCACAAUAAGAGGGGAGUGGGUGCACUUUUUGGGCAUUUUUUUAUUCAAGCGAGUCCAUAGCAUGUGAGUGAAUGUCAACCAAAAUAUCCAAUUUUUUCUAGCAAAUAAGCAUUAUUCUUAAUUAAAAUAUAAGACAUGCACGUUUCAAGUAGAACAAUAAUAUCAAUGAAUAAAAUUGAAAGUGGGUCAAUUUAUAUAAAGUGAACCUUAUAGGGUAUAAAUUAAUAAAUUCAAUUAUACAGCAAAAAUUUUCUGGUACCAAAUAGGGCCAAUUGGACAAAUUAAUAAUGCUCAUAAAUUGAUAAGAUAAUCCUGUACGUAAGUAAUCGUUGUUGCUUUUAAAAUACUCAGUUUUACCUUAUAAAGUGAACAUUUUGGAGACAAGUAAGAAAACAAAUUGGCUAUUUAUUUUUUCCCUAAUUUUGAGAAGGCUAAAAGGUGCGAACUUCUUUUAGUUAUUGUUCCACAUUUCUUGUUUACAAUAAAAUAAAAUCAUAUCUAUCGAAAUUAACAACAAAUACAUGUUGUUAACCAUAUAAAUUAUCAUCAUUAAAACUUAAAAGUGCAAUGUCGUGUCGUGAGUACUAACUAAAUUAUAGUAUAAUUCGCAUUAAUUAGGUCAAUGUGUAUGAUAAUAUAUGCCUCAUGAUGGAUCAUUAUACUAAAUAGCAAAGGAAUUUCUUCAAAUAGGAUGAUAGAUGGUGAUCGACGAAUUAGGGCACGUAUAACUUGUUGCCACAUUUGCACCUCCACGCCUCGGGAUAGUACUCUGUAGUCACCGGUGUUCCAGGCGGCACUGGCACAUGAACAGGCUUGCACGGUGUACAUCUACCACAUUUUGACGUGCAACGAGGUGGCGACGAUCCUGGCCCACCCAAUAGUCUUCUAGCUCCACCCAUGCUCCCUCUAGCUAUAUCCCAAUUACUAUUUUC
This 47219-nucleotide long non-coding RNA is filed under the name Olea europaea (common olive). RNAcentral's name for it is "long non-coding RNA (OEUR_LNC011278)". The record is from RNAcentral. Lineage: Eukaryota; Viridiplantae; Streptophyta; Magnoliopsida; Lamiales; Oleaceae.